This 74646-nucleotide long non-coding RNA is filed under the name Brachypodium distachyon (stiff brome). RNAcentral's name for it is "long non-coding RNA (BDIS_LNC001156)". The stretch from base 58072 to 58161 matches the Rfam family "tRNA". Lineage: Eukaryota; Viridiplantae; Streptophyta; Magnoliopsida; Poales; Poaceae. The record is from RNAcentral.
AACGCCUCAGCACACGCCCUGCCCAAGCUCUUCUUCCAGCCCAAAUCCCCAGCCAGCAGCAGCACAAGACAUCUAUCCAGCAAUGGCGUCCACCUCCUGCUUCCUCCACCAGUCCACCGCCCGCCUCGCCGCCUCCGCCCGCCCCUCCGCCGCCCGCACCCAGAUCCUCGUCUGCAAGGCCCAGCAGCACGACUCCUCCGACGCCGCCACCACCCGCCGCGCCGCCCUCUCCCUCCUCGCCGGCGCCGCCGCCGCCGCCUCCCUCAAGGUCUCCCCCGCCUCCGCCGCCUACGGCGAAGCCGGUACGUAACAGAGAUCUUACCCGCCGUUUGGUCCCAACAGAUCUCUCUCUAAUUUGGUUGAUUUCUCUGUAUGUGCAGCGAAUGUGUUUGGGAAGCAGAAGAGCACGGAGUUCGUGGCGUACAGCGGGGACGGGUUCAAGCUGAUGAUCCCGGCGAAAUGGAACCCGAGCAAGGAGCGGGAGUUCCCGGGGCAGGUGCUGCGCUACGAGGACAACUUCGACGCCACCAGCAACCUCUCCGUCAUGAUCACGCCCACACCCAAGAAGUCCAUCACCGACUACGGAUCGCCCGAGGAGUUCCUCUCCCAGGUCGGAUACCUCCUCGGCCAGCAGUCCUACGGCGGCAAGACCGACUCUGAGGUAGUACCCAUUUUCUUUCUACUUCUUUCUUCAAUCUUGAUCCAUUAGAGUGAGUGAGUGAGCGAGCGAGUUCGAUCUUAAUUGCAGGGUGGGUUUGAGUCGGACGCGGUGGCGACGGCGAACGUGCUGGAGAGCGCGGCGCCGGUGGUGGGGGGGAAGCAGUACUACAGCAUAACGGUGCUCACGAGGACGGCGGACGGGGACGAAGGGGGGAAGCACCAGCUCAUCACGGCCACCGUCGCCGACGGGAAGCUCUACGUCUGCAAGGCGCAGGCCGGGGACAAGAGGUGGUUCAAGGGCGCAAAGAAGUUCGUCGAGAACGCAGCCGGUUCAUUCAGCGUCGCUUAAAAGGAAUUCAUAUAUAUCCUGUUCGUACGUCGAAUUUGCUCAGGGAUGCACACCAUUUAAGUGUAGAAGAGAUAUGUCGAGCAUACUGUAAGAGUGUGUUUCUUUGAUUUGUACAUGAGAAGGUCAGAGGUCGAUUUAAUUCCCUCAAGGAUUUAUGCAUGCAUGUAUGGACAAUAAUGCUGCCUAAGAAAUCGUAGUUAUAAUAUGUUUCGGUUUUUGUACCUAGCUAACCAUGUCUGUAACUGCAGGUAAAUAACCAGCUAGGGAUCUAAAUUUUUGAUACAGGGGACGCAUAGGGAGCAAUGUCUGCUCCCUUGUCCUGCGGCGACGAGCUAAAGUUGCGGCCUUCAUGGAACUAAACUUGCCAGUUACCCGACGUUGAGUGACGGCUUCUAGAAACACCACAUAACGUUUAGUGGCGGCGGCUUUUUCAACCAAAACUAAUGUACCCUUUAGUGAGCCUUCAAUCACCGGUUUGAAAACAACCGGUCUGGAGUCACCAAUCUGAACAGAAAACACCUCUUACUUCUUCCUUUCUUCUCAUAAGUUGUGUUCUUUGUAUUGCUCUCACAAUGACAGUCACACCACUGGGGUUGUGGGGGCUAGGGUUUUCUUUUCUCUCUUCUACAAAGAGAGUAAUAUCAGCCGUUGGAUAGGGCUGAGAUCAACGGUUCACGUGAACUGGGCUUUUGGGUUUCAUUAGGCUGCAGCUCACCACCUCCAUAUCAAGGAAUCAGUCCAACACGUUUCUAUUGUACCCUUUAACUAUAGUGGAACUUAAUUUAGAGGGAAAAGUUCCUUUGGUUGGUGUGUUUCUUGGUGACACAUGCAACCUAUCAAAUGUGGACAGGAAUUGGCUUGCCAAUUUUUUUGUCAAAUUCCUCAACCCUUAUUUGUAUAUUAUUUGCAAGGAUUUGUGAAAGACAUGAAAGUGGUCUACGCUGUGGACCAAAAUUUUGACAACGCCGAACAAAAGCUAAAAAAUAUUGGUUGCUAAUUUUUUGGCAUGGCUAGCUUAGACACCAAUUAAACACACAUAAAACAAGGAGGUGAGUCGGGCCAGAACCGGCCGGCAAGCGAACCAACCUAGUAGAGGGAGAGGGAGCUGUCUAGCUAGCUGAUGAUGUCGCCUAGAGGGGGGGUGAAUAGACAUUUAAAACUUUUACAGAUUUGGCUCUUUAUAUCCUAAAUGCGGAAUUAAACUAGUCGGAUAUUUUCAAACACAAAUCCUAAAUAUGCUAGGCUCAACAAUAGUGCACCAACAAUAAAAGCUAAAGCAAGAUGAGCACUUAAUAAACAACAAGCUAGCACAACAUAUAAGAUAGCACAAAGCACAUGUAAAAUAAUAUAUGACUUCAAGCACGAUGGCUAUCACAAAUUAAAGCACAAGUGAAAGAACUCGGUUUAGGAAUACCGAGGCACGCGGAGACGGUGAUUUAUCCCGAUGUUCACUUCCUAAGAAGCUAAUCACCGUUGGAGAGGUGCGGGCACCACAAGAGGUAACCCCAAUAGCCGUGAAAGGGCACACCCAACUCCUUGAGCCUUUCACACCAAAGUAGGAGCUCAAUCACUAAGAUGGCUAGCUUCUUCCUCCACUCCGGAGAUGGCAAGCUCCACAACCAAUUCACAAAGCACCACAAAGGAGAACCUCGGGCCUCUUCACAAUCUCCACGAAGAGGUCACCGGGGCAACAACCACUAAGCCGUCUAGGAGGACCUCCAAGAGUAACAAGCUCACAGGCUCUCACUCGAACUAAUCAAGGUGGAGAGCUCAAAUCAAUGCACCAAAUGCAAAGCAAGAACACAGGAAAUUCUCAAAUCACUCUCUCCCAAAUCUCACCCAAAUCAACAAAUGGAUUGGAGAAAAUAGAGAGGAGGAACAAGGAGGAGAUCAACAAAUGAACCCUUCAAAUAGAUCUACAAACUCCCUUCAAAUGGAUGGAAGAUUUGGGGCUUGGGGGAGGUGGAGAAAGAUCUCAAAGAAUGGGGAUUUUCGGCUCUUGGAACCCUAGACCCGAUGGGGAAGAAGACCCCUAUUUAUAGGGCCCCCAAAAUCUGCCCGUUAGACACAGAUUUUGCGACCCGGAGGCAAUCCUGGAGGCUCCGGGAUUCAUUCCGGACCAAACCCGAAGCUACUGGACGCACCCGGAGGCAAUCCCGGAGGUUCCGGAGUUAAAUCCGGCUGCCCAAAACUACAGCACAACACACACGAAAACGGCGAUAACUUUUGCAAACGAACUCCGAUUUUGAUGAACUUGGUCUCGUUUCGAAGAAGACAACGAACUCUACAUUUUAACACAGAAAACCAGCAAAGGUCAACCAAAAGAGAUGAUGCAAAAUAUGCAAGGUUUGAGCACUCUACGCACGACGUGUUCAAGUUACCGCCCGGAAGCCCCUCUUGAUAGAAUGGCUAUCGAAACUAUAAACCGGUCUCCCACCAAACUCCUUGAGACCGGUAAAACUAGGAAAACCUAGCUAGAAUAUACCUUUGCCUUGAGCAAUCCACUUUAGGUUGAUGUAGGCGUCAAUGCUCGUCUCAAGUUUGAAUCCAUCGCUUGAUCAUGGUCACUUGGUGAAGAUACUCAAUUUGCUCCCCAAUACUCCAAUGUGGGAAAUCUUCACUUUAAGCUCAUCUUUACAUGUCCAUUAUCACCAAAUGGAUGGCAAGAUUCAAGCAUAUAUCUGUUGGAAAUAUGCCCUAGAGGCAAUAAUAAAUUUGUUAUUAUCAUAUUUCAUUGUUCUUGAUAAAUGUUUAUUGCAUAUGCUAUAAUUGUAUUGAUUGGAAACUCAAAUACAUGUGUGGAUAAAUAAACAAAUACCGUGUCCCUAAUACGCCUCUACUAGAUUAGCUCGUUGAUUAAAGAUGGUUAAGGUUUCCUAACCAUAGACAUGUGUUGUCAUUUAAUAACGAGGUCAUAUCAUUAGGAGAAUGAUGUGAUGGACAGACCCAAACCUAAACAUAGCUUUUGAUCGUGUCACUUAAGUUUAAGUUGCUUAUGUUUUAUUAUGUCAAGUAUUAUUUCUUUAGACCAUGAGAUCAUGCCACUCCCUAGUACCGGAAGAAUACUUUGUGGGCAUCAACCGUCAUCUCGUAACUGGGUGAUCAUAAAGGUGUUUUUCAGGUAUCCCAGAAGGUGCUUGUUGGGUUGUAUGGAUCAAGACUGGGAUUUGUCACUCCUUGUGACGGAGAGAUAUCUCUGGGCCCUCUCGGUAAUAUAACAUCCUAAUGAGCUUGCAAGCAUGUGACUAAUGUGUUUAGUUGCGGGGGUAUUAUAUUACGGAACGAGUAAAGAGAACUUGCCGAUAACGAGAUUAAACUAGGUAUGGCGAUACCGACGAUCAAAUCUCGGGCAAGUAAUAUAUCGCGAGACAAAGAGAAUUGGAUACUGGAUUAAUUGAAUCCUCGACAUAGUGGUUCAACCGAUGAGAUCUUCGUGGAAUAUGUGGGAACUAUUAUGGACAUCCAGGUCCCGCUAUUGGUUAUUGAUAUUUGAUCAUGUCCACAUGUUCUCGAACCCGUAGGGUCACACACUUAACGUUUCAUGUUGCUUGGGUUAGAUGAGAUAAAUGAUGAUGAUAUCGAAUUAUGAUUCGGAGUCUUGGAUGGGAUCCUAGACGCAACGAGGAGCUCCGGAAUGUUCCGGAGAUAAAGAUUUAUAUAUGGAAAGUUGUUUUCAGGGUUCUGGAAAGUUUGGAAUAUUUCCCGGUUUUGACCGGGAAGCUUCUAGAAGGUUCCGGAGGGAUCCGGAGGGUUCCACCUUGAGGCCCACCUAUCCCUGGGCUAAAUGGGCCUGUGAGGGAGCACCCUGGCCUUAAUGGGCCGAGGGGCUAGCCCACAGGGCCCAUGCGGCCAGGAGGAGAGUCCUGGCCGCGGGAGAGUCCUGGCCGCAUGAGAGUCCUGGCCGCCGGAGAGUCCUGGCCGCGGGAUAGUCCUGGCCGGCCACGCCUCCUCUACCCCUAUAUAAAUAGAAGGGGGGGCAAGGGAGAGAGACACCCCAAGCUUUCAGUUGGAUCUCUCUCCCCUGAGCCCUCCUCUCCUCCUCUUCUCACGCGCACGGCGUAGCCCUGCCCGUGAGAAUAUUCACCAUAGUCACCAUGCCGUCGUGCUGUCGGGAUCUCGUCUACCUCUCCCUCUCGCUUGCUGGAUCGAGGAAGGAGGAGAUAACGUGAAGCUGAACGUGUGGAUACCAAGGAGGUGCUGUCCGUUCGGCACUGAGAUUGAUCUCAUUGAAAGUUCCACUACACCAACAACGAUCUCGUGAUCGUAACGCUUAGCGGUCUACGAGGGUAUGGUGUUCAUGAUCCCUCUCGUUACAUACAUCUAGUAUAUAUAUUCUUGGGUUUCUUCCGCACUUCUCGUAGGAAAAUUUUUGUUUCCUAUGCAACGAACCCAUCAGUGGUAUCAGAGCUAGAUCUAUGCGUAGAUGUUUUGUACGAGUAGAACACAAUUUAGUUGUGGGCGUUGAUGUUCAUAUUGCUACCUCCUUUGUGCACUAUCGGAUUUUGCGGGAUAGUGGGAUGAAGCGGUUCGGACCAACCUUACUUGUCUUCGCACAAGAGACCGGUUCCGCAAUUAACAUGCAACUUGUAUUGCAUAAGGCGGCUGGCGGGUGUCUGUCUCUCCCACUAUAGUUGAAAUCUGAUUUGCAAUGGGAGGCCUAUAUGGUUAAUAAGCAAUUUGUAUAUCACCGUUGUGGCUUUUGCGUAAGUAAGAACGGUUCUUUUAGUGCAGCCCCUAAAGCCACGUAAAACAUGCAACAACAAAGUAGAAGCGUCUAACUUGUUUUUGCAGGGGCAUGUGAUGUGGUAUGGCCAAGAUAUGAUAUAAUAUAUUUGAUGUAUGAGAUGAUCAUGUUUUGUAAUAUUUCACGACUUGCAUGUCGAUGAGUUUGGCAACCGGCAGGAGCCGUAUGGUUGUCUCAUUAAUUAUUGUAUGACCUUCGUGUCAAUGAUUUAAUCGCCAUGUAAUUGCUUUACUUUAUCGCUAGUAGUAGCAAUAGUCGUAGUAGUAAUAGUUGGUGGAGGCAACUAUACAUGACGCCCGAGGACCUAGGCGCCAUGCUGGUGAUGAUGGAGAUCAUGCCCGUGCUUUGGAGAUGGAGAUCAAAGGCACACGAAGAGAAGGCCAUAUCAUGUCACAUUAUUUAUGCAUGUGAUGUUUAUCCCUUUUAUGCAUCUUAUUUUGCUUAGUUGACGGUAGCAUUAUAAGAUGAUCCCUCAUUGUUAAUAUCAAGAUAAUAAUGUGUUCUCCCUUAGUAUGCACCGUUGCAAAAGUUCGUCGUUUUGAAGCACCACGUGAUGAUCGGGUGUUAUAAACUCUACGUUCGCAUACAACGGGUGUAAGCCAGUUUUACACAUGCAGGAAUACUUUGGUUAACUUGACGAGCCUAGCAUGUACAGACAUGGCCUCGGAACACAAGGAACCGAAAGGUUAAACAUGAGUCAUAUGAAUGAUGUGAUCAACAUGCUGAUGUUUACCAUUGAAGCUACUCCAUCUCACGUGAUGAUCGGACUUGGUGUAGUGGAUUUGGAUCAUGUGUCACUAAACAACCCGAGGGAUGUUGAUUUUAGUGGGAGUUCAUUAGUAAUUUGAUUAGCUUGAACUUAUUAUCAUGAACUUAGUCUAAUUGCCUUUGCAAAUAUACUGUAGAUCAAUGGCUCGUACUACGUUCAAUAUGAAUACUCUCCUAGAGAAAGAUAAACUGAAGUCCAAUGGAAGCAACUUUACGGACUGGUUCCGGAAUGUGAGGAUUAUCCUCGAAGCUGCCAAAAAGGCUUAUGUUUUUGAUGCAGCGCUUGGUGCAGAACCCGCAACAACUGAGUCUGCUGACGUUAGGAACGUUUGGCUGACUCAAUCUGAGGACCACAAUGUAGUUAGGUGCGGCCUCUUGCUUGGUAUGGAACCUGAGCUCCAAAAGCGUUUUGAGCACCACUCGGCAUAUGCUAUGAUUGGGGAACUGAAUACUUUAUUUCAGACCCAAGCCCGUGCGGAGAGGUAUGAUGCCUCCGAAAGGUUCUUUAACUGCAAGAUGGAGGAGAACAGCUCCGUUAGCGAGCACGUGCUCAGAAUGUCUGGGUACGCCGACCGCCUGAGACAACUGGGAAUUGAGAUUCCUAAUGAAUUAGGCAUUGACCGGGUUCUUCAGUCACUACCACCUAGCUAUAAAAGUUUUGUGGUGAACUACAAUAUGCAAGGGAUGGAUAGGACACUUCCUCAGCUCCUCGCGAUGUUAAAAACUGCAGAGAUGGAAAUCAAAAAGGAGCAUCAAGUGUUGAUGGUCAAUAAGACCACCAGUUUCAAGAAGGCAAAGGGUAAGAAGGGAAAUUUCAAGAAGGGUGGCAAAACUGUUGCCACUCCCGCGAAGAAGCCCAAAUCUGGACCUAAGCCGGAUACUGAGUGCUUCUACUGCAAGGGAACUGGCCACUGGAAGCGUAACUGCCCCAAGUACUUGGCAGAUAAGAAGGCUGGCAACGUCAAAGGUAUAUUUGAUAUACAUGUUAUUGAUGUGUACCUUACUAGUACUCGUAGUAGCACCUGGGUAUUUGAUACUGGUUCAGUUGCUCACAUUUGUAACUCGAAACAGGAGCUACAGAAUAAACGAAGACUAGCAAGAGAUGAGGUGACUAUGCGCGUCGGGAAUGGAUCAAAAGUUGAUGUGAUCGCCGUCGGCACGCUCCCUCUACAUUUAUCUUCGGGAUUAGUUUUAAACCUUAGUAAUUGUUAUUUGGUGCCUGCGUUGAGCAUGAACAUUAUAUCAGGAUCUUGUUUAAUGCAAGACGGUUAUUCAUUUAAAUCAGAGAAUAAUGGUUGUUCGAUUUAUAUGAGUAAUAUCUUUUAUGGUCAUGCACCACUUGUGAAUGGUUUAUUUCUAUUAAGUCUCGAUAGUAGUGACACACAUAUUCAUAAUGUUAAUGCCAAAAGGUGCAAAGUGGAUAAUGAUAGUUCAACAUAUUUGUGGCACUGCCGUCUAGGUCAUAUUGGUAUAAAACGCAUGAAGAAACUCCAUUCUGAUGGACUACUUGAAUCACUUGAUUUUGAAUCAUUUGAUACAUGUGAACCAUGCCUCAUGGGUAAGAUGACUAGAAUCCCGUUUUCAGGCUUAAUGGAACGGGCCAGUGACUUGUUGGAGAUCAUACAUACUGAUGUGUGCGGACCAAUGAGUGUUACAACGUGCGGUGGAUAUCGUUACUUCCUAACCUUCACAGAUGAGUUGAGUAGAUAUGGGUAUAUUUACUUAAUGAAAAACAAGUCUGAGACAUUUGAGAAAUUCAAGGAAUUUCAGAAUGAAGUGGAGAAUCAUCGUAACAAGAAAAUUAAAUUUCUACGAUCGGAUCGUGGAGGUGAAUAUUUGAGUUACGAGUUUGGCACGCAUUUAAGACAAUGUGGAAUUGUUUCACAACUUACGCCGCCUGGAAUACCACAACGCAAUGGUGUGUCCGAACGUCGUAAUCGUACUUUAUUGGAUAUGGUACGGUCUAUGAUGUCUCUUACUGAUUUGCCACUGUCGUUUUGGGGUUAUGCAUUAGAGACAGCCGCAUUCACUUUAAAUAGGGCACCAUCUAAAUCCGUUGAAACGACACCGUAUGAAUUAUGGUUUGGCAAGAAACCUAAGCUGUCCUUUCUUAAAGUUUGGGGAUGCGAAGCUUAUGUAAAAAGGCUACAACCUGAUAAGCUCGAACCCAAGUCGGAAAAAUGCGUCUUCAUAGGAUACCCUAAAGAAACAAUUGGGUACACCUUCUAUCACAGAUCCGAAGGAAAAGUGUUUGUCGCUAAGAACGGGUCCUUUCUAGAGAAGGAGUUUCUCUCGAAAGAAGUGAGUGGGAGGAAGGUAGAGCUCGAUGAGGUUAUUGAACCUUCUCUCGAAUUUGAGUGUAGCGCAGCACCAGAAACUGUUCCCGUGCAUCCUGCAUCAGCUAGAGAGGAAGCUAAUGAUAAUGAUCAUGAAGUUUUGAAUGAGACAACUACUGAACUUCACAGGUCGACGAGAACACGUAAUACUCCUGAGUGGUACAAUGUUCGUGUCAUGAAUGUCAUGUUGUUGGACAACGAUGAACCUGCGAAUUAUGAGGAAGCAAUGAUGAGCCCAGACUCCGAAAAAUGGUUAGAAGCCAUGAAAUCCGAAAUGGGAUCCAUGUAUGAAAACCAAGUAUGGACUUUGGUAGACUUACCGAAUGACCGAAAGGCCGUUGAGAACAAAUGGAUUUUCAAGAAGAAAACAGAUGCUGAUGGAAAUGUUACCGUCUAUAAAGCUCGACUUGUCGCAAAAGGUUUUCGACAAAUUCAAGGAGUUGACUACGAUGAGACUUUCUCACCCGUAGCGAUGCUAAAGUCUGUUCGGAUUAUGUUAGCAAUUGCUGCAUUUUUCGAUUACGAAAUUUGGCAGAUGGAUGUCAAAACCGCGUUCCUUAAUGGUCACAUUGAGGAAGAGUUAUACAUGGUUCAGCCCAAAGGUUUUGUCGAUCCUAAGGAUGCUAAUAAGGUAUGCAAACUUCAGCGUUCCAUUUAUGGGCUCAAGCAAGCAUCUCGGAGUUUGAAUCUCCGUUUUGAUAAGGUGAUCAAAGGGUUUGGAUUUGUCCAAACUCACGGAGAAGCUUGUAUUUACAAGAAAGUGAGUGGGAGCUCUGUAGCAUUUCUAAUACUGUAUGUGGAUGACAUAUUGCUGAUUGGGAAUGAUAUAGAAUUUCUUAAAAGUGUUAAAGGCUAUUUGAAUAAAAGUUUUUCAAUGAAAGACCUUGGUGAAGCAGCUUACAUAUUAGGCAUCAAGAUUUAUAGAGAUAGAUCAAGACGCCUGAUAGGACUUACACAAAGUACAUACCUUGACAAAGUUUUGAAAAGGUUCAAAAUGGAUCAAGCAAAGAAAGGGUUCUUGCCCAUGUUGCAAGGUAAGACAUUGAGUAAGACUCAGUGUCCAGCUUCGGCAGAAGAUAGAGAAAAGAUGAAUAGUAUCCCCUAUGCCUCAGCCAUAGGCUCUAUUAUGUAUGCCAUGCUGUGUACUAGACCAGACGUGUGUCAUGCUGUUAGUUUGACUAGCAGGUACCAAAGUGAUCCAGGAGUGGAACACUGGACAGCAGUUAAGAAUAUCCUUAAGUACCUAAAAAGGACUAAAGAAAUGUUUCUCGUUUAUGGAGGUGACGAACAGCUCGUCGUAAAGGGUUACGUCGAUGCUAGUUUUGACACUGAUCCGGAUGACUCUAAGUCUCAAUCCGGAUACGUAUUUAUUUUGAAUGGUGGUGCAGUUAGCUGGAGGAGUUCCAAGCAGAGCGUUGUGGCAGCAUCAACAACUGAAGCGGAAUAUGUGGCUGCUUCAGAAGCGGCACAGGAAGGAGUUUGGAUGAAGGAGUUCAUAUCUGAACUUGGUGUGGUUCCGAGUGCGUUGGAUCCCAUGGACAUCUAUUGUGAAAACACUGGUGCCAUAGCCAACGCCAAGGAGCCGAGGUCUCACAAGAAUUCCAAGCAUAUUAAACGCCGGUUUCACACUAUUCGUGAAUAUGUCAAGGAUGGUGACAUAAAGAUUUGCAAAGUACAUACGGAUCUGAAUGUCGCAGACCCGUUGACUAAACCUCUUCCACGAGCAAAACAUGAUCAACACCAAGACUCCAUGGGUGUUAGAUUUAUUACAAUGUAAACUAGAUUAUUGACUCUAGUGCAAGUGGGAGACUGUUGGAAAUAUGCCCUAGAGGCAAUAAUAAAUUUGUUAUUAUCAUAUUUCAUUGUUCUUGAUAAAUGUUUAUUGCCCAUGCUAUAAUUGUAUUGAUUGGAAACUCAAAUACAUGUGUGGAUAAAUAAACAAAUACCGUGUCCCUAAUACGCCUCUACUAGAUUAGCUCGUUGAUUAAAGAUGGUUAAGGUUUCCUAACCAUAGACAUGUGUUGUCAUUUAAUAACGAGGUCAUAUCAUUAGGAGAAUGAUGUGAUGGACAGACCCAAACCUAAACAUAGCUUUUGAUCGUGUCACUUAAGUUUAAGUUGCUUAUGUUUUAUUAUGUCAAGUAUUAUUUCUUUAGACCAUGAGAUCAUGCCACUCCCUAGUACCGGAAGAAUACUUUGUGGGCAUCAACCGUCAUCUCGUAACUGGGUGAUCAUAAAGGUGUUUUUCAGGUAUCCCAGAAGGUGCUUGUUGGGUUGUAUGGAUCAAGACUGGGAUUUGUCACUCCUUGUGACGGAGAGAUAUCUCUGGGCCCUCUCGGUAAUAUAACAUCCUAAUGAGCUUGCAAGCAUGUGACUAAUGUGUUUAGUUGCGGGGGUAUUAUAUUACGGAACGAGUAAAGAGAACUUGCCGAUAACGAGAUUAAACUAGGUAUGGCGAUACCGACGAUCAAAUCUCGGGCAAGUAAUAUAUCGCGAGACAAAGAGAAUUGGAUACUGGAUUAAUUGAAUCCUCGACAUAGUGGUUCAACCGAUGAGAUCUUCGUGGAAUAUGUGGGAACUAUUAUGGACAUCCAGGUCCCGCUAUUGGUUAUUGAUAUUUGAUCAUGUCCACAUGUUCUCGAACCCGUAGGGUCACACACUUAACGUUUCAUGUUGCUUGGGUUAGAUGAGAUAAAUGAUGAUGAUAUCGAAUUAUGAUUCGGAGUCUUGGAUGGGAUCCUAGACGCAACGAGGAGCUCCGGAAUGUUCCGGAGAUAAAGAUUUAUAUAUGGAAAGUUGUUUUCAGGGUUCUGGAAAGUUUGGAAUAUUUCCCGGUUUUGACCGGGAAGCUUCUAGAAGGUUCCGGAGGGAUCCGGAGGGUUCCACCUUGAGGCCCACCUAUCCCUGGGCUAAAUGGGCCUGUGAGGGAGCACCCUGGCCUUAAUGGGCCGAGGGGCUAGCCCACAGGGCCCAUGCGGCCAGGAGGAGAGUCCUGGCCGCGGGAGAGUCCUGGCCGCAUGAGAGUCCUGGCCGCCGGAGAGUCCUGGCCGCGGGAUAGUCCUGGCCGGCCACGCCUCCUCUACCCCUAUAUAAAUAGAAGGGGGGGCAAGGGAGAGAGACACCCCAAGCUUUCAGUUGGAUCUCUCUCCCCUGAGCCCUCCUCUCCUCCUCUUCUCACGCGCACGGCGUAGCCCUGCCCGUGAGAAUAUUCACCAUAGUCACCACGCCGUCGUGCUGCCGGGAUCUCGUCUACCUCUCCCUCUCGCUUGCUGGAUCGAGGAAGGAGGAGAUAACGUGAAGCUGAACGUGUGGAUACCAAGGAGGUGCUGUCCGUUCGGCACUGAGAUUGAUCUCAUUGAAAGUUCCACUACACCAACAACGAUCUCGUGAUCGUAACGCUUAGCGGUCUACGAGGGUAUGGUGUUCAUGAUCCCUCUCGUUACAUACAUCUAGUAUAUAUAUUCUUGGGUUUCUUCCGCACUUCUCGUAGGAAAAUUUUUGUUUCCUAUGCAACGAACCCAUCAAUAUCUUCUCGGGAUACUUAUAUUGAGCUUGCCCUUUGUCAAUCUUGAAGUCCGUCUCCAUAUGGGCUAUAUAAGAUUGUUUCUUUAAACCUCACCCAUAUGUAUCACCUAAUCCUCAACCAAAUAACAUAGACAUAAUAUUGGUUAGUCUAUAAGUGUAAUAUACAAUUGCUUACCAUAUGAUUCAUGUAUAUAAUCCUCGGAGUGCUUUUCUUGAACUUGCUCUUCUCAACCACUAGAUCACACCCCAUCAUUUAUGCUUGUGUGUUGACCAAUAACUUGAAUCCGCUCUUUGCACUUCAUUUCGGUCAACCUUCAUAUUUGCUUCACUUUCCAUCUUUAUGAUAUCUUCAAGCCAAUAAUGAACUCUUCACUUAACCUUCAUUGCUUCAAGACUUAAUCACCAAAUGCACUCUCAUGACCAUACAUGGGAUUCACCAUGAAUAUCACUUUGGUCUUCUUUAUUCUCUAUCGCAAUAUCUUGAGACACAUAAUGGAUUAUUCACUUGAGUUCUUGCUCCAUAACCUUGUCAUGAAGCCAUAUCUUGAAUCCUUAUCUUGUAAUCAUUAUCUCAAGAUCUUAAUCUUCAUGAGAAACUUCACUUUCUUCUUCUUGAUAAUAUUUGAUUCGCCCAUUGAAACCCAAUAACUUCAUACCUUCAAUUCAAUAUACGUUUCUUACUAGCAUUCCUUGAAUUAAAGCUCAAUGCAAACAACUUAUGCAAAAGGAUUGUCAUCGGAUACCAAAACCACACAUCCAAUUGUUAACAACUCAAUAUAUAUCUUUAUCUUCAUAACAUUUAUAAUUGAAUUAACCAAGUGAUCUUCGUUCAUUGCCUAUGAAACAUUCCUUCAAAUAUAUCUCAACUAAAACAUUAGUCCAUAGGGAUUGUCAUUAAUUACCAAAACCACACAUGGGGCAACAUGCACUUUCACCUGUGUCUUGUCACUUGUUACUAGAAAAAUGGAUUUAAUGAUCACACGGACACGGUAAAAUUAGUCGCACCCGUGGCGAAAGUGAAGGAAAGAUAGUUCUUUGUGAGGUGUUGCAGGGAAAGAGAAGUACUUCAGGAGCGGCAAGAGAACACACAUACUCCAUGGUAUCUAGCGUCAGUACUGCCUCUCAUCUUCUUCCUUGUUUCCUUGCUUCGGUAGCAGCUGGUUGAUCAGACGAGAUGUUCGAAGGCGGCGACACUGGUGCGCGGCAGACACAGCCCACGAUGGGCUAUUCCGAUCGGUCUCUGAAUAUGAUACAAGCUAUAAACGAUUCCAUGUUUGUUGAAUUUCUUUAAUCUUGUGCUACACAACGCUCGGCGUCGUCAUCGUCGUGGUGCUAGGCGCAUUCGUCGUGGCGGCUAUCUUUUACAUGCAUAGAUGUGCAAACUUGUGUUCCAAGAGAUCGCGCUUCGCGGGCGGGUCAACGGUGGCGGCAGUGGUGGCGACGACGACGACGAUGCAAGACUACAUGGUGGUGCCCUUGUGCCGUGAUUCAGGAACACCUAUUGAUUUCUGAUCGGCCAACCAAUCCUUGCAGAACUCGAUGCACUCUUCUGCCCUAAAGCCUUCCACGAUGCUACCUUCCGCACGCGAUCUGUUACGAACGUAGCGCUUCAUAACCUCGUUGUAUCGUUCAGGGCCAUACAUGUUAUGCAGGAACGAGGGCCCUAGGGACAAGAUCUCAUCACAUAUGUGGAUCAUUAGAUGGACCAUGAUAUCGAAGAAUGAUGGAGGGAAGAACAUCUCGAGUUCGCACAAAAUCUGUAUCAUACUAUCCUGCAGUAUCUGGCAUCGUCUAACGGUGAUUGACUUCCGCGAGAUGCUGUCAAAGAAGUCAGAAAUCUUCUCCUUCGGUGCUGUCCCGUGCUCCGUCUUCCCAUUGAACCUUUCCUUGUCAUCCCUCCAAGGGUCUUUAGCAUCCAACCAUUUUCGGUGGCCCAUGUAAACAAUUUUGGAUGAAGCGGGCAACUUCUCUAAUGUCGUGUUUUCCCCGCACUUUGUACAGGCCUUGUAGUCAUGUGUCACCUGGCAUGAAGUAUUUUCAUUCGCGGGGUAGUCAUGCACGCAGGUCAAAAGCGCUGCUCUCAUCGUGAAGUACUCCCUCCUGUUUGCGUCCCAAACCACUCUGCCAGGGUUCCAAAGCUGCUUCAGCUCAUCCUUCACUAGCUGCAGAUACACAUUUAUGUCAGCUCCUGGCUGCUUUGGACCCUGUAUGAGCAUGCACAUGUGGAUGUAUUUUCUCUUCAUGAUUAACCAUGGAGGAAGGUUGUAAACAAACAAGAUCACUGGCCAUGUGUUGUGCUUGUUGUUCAUGUUUCUGAAAGGAUUUAUCCCGUCAGUGUCGAGACCGACCUCAGGUUUCUGGGCACUACCCCAAAAUCUGGAAAUGCCGUGUCGAAGUUCCUCCACUGAGUCCCAUCGGCGGGGUGUCUGAGGACCUCAGCUUCCUCCACACGGUAGUGCUCGUCAAGAUCGAAUGCUGCCUGCGCCGGAUCAUGAUGGACGAGAUACCUCGCGUCCUUAAUGUUCUGCAUCCAACGCUCAACUCGGCCACCUGCUGUAAGAUACCAGACAGUCUUUGCCGGCCUCCCUUCAUCACUUCUUCCCCAUCGUCUUCGCCAGUUCUGGCGUUUCUCUUCUUGUAUCUCGAUGCACCGCAUAUGUGGCAGCUCUCAUGGUUCUCGUACUCUCCAAUGUAUACCAUGCAGUCGUUUGGACAUGAAUGAUGUUUCACGCAAUCUAAUCCAAGCGGGCAUGUAAUCUUCUUCGCCUCGUAUGUGCUAUUGGGCAACUUGUUUGGCUGUGGAAAAACCGAAAGCAAGGUAACUCAACAAGUCCGUGAAGCCCUUGUCUGACCAGCAUGAUGCUGCCUUCAGCCUCAAAAAUUCGAGCGUUACUUUGAGCACUUGUUUUCUUCGCCAGCUCCAUCAUACAAGGGUGUGUUUGCGUCCUCCAACAAUUUUUUGAACUGAGCAGACUCUGCCUCAUAUCGGGGUCCUCCAGCUGGUCCCGUAGGUACGGGUCAUCUAGCAUUUCGGCAAUCCUGCCACAUGGAGCUCCUUCACCUUCCACAUUAGCCUCCUCAUCGACCCUUGUUUCUUUCUCAGAAUCAUUCGCCAAAUCAUACCGCAGGACAUUAUCAUCUUCGCUAACGCUACCGACAUCAACCGCAUCCUCCUCGUGACAAGUCCAGCGUGAAUAACCUUCCACAAAACCCGAUACUAGCACGUGCAUCUGAACAUCUUCAGGCUUCAUCAUGCAUGUGUUUUCACAUUUGUGACAUUUACAACACAUCAUCACAAGUCCUUUUCGUUCCAUAUCACCUUUCGCGACUCCAAAAAAGACUGUCCAUUCGGUUAUCCAUCGAGCAUUGAUUCUUUUCGUGGCGUACAUCCAAGAACGGUCCUUUGAUCUACAACACAAUACACAAGAAAACACAAAGCUAAAUAGUUAGCCUAAUAAUUAACAAGGGGAUUAAGGUGUUAAUUAACUGAGGCUAACUAAAAAUUUGAAAUUAGGGACAUCGGAGAGAAAUUGGAGGCCGGCGAGAAAGAUCGGGAGGGAGAGAGAGCUCGCAAGGGAGAGGGAAGCUCCGGGCGACGAUGAGGAGGCCGCAUUUUGGCCGGCGGCCGGAGCUCAAAAAUUUGAAAUUGGGGAACUUCGGAGAGAAAUUGGAGGCCGGCGAGAUAGAUCGGGAGGGAGAGAGAGCGCGAAAGGGAGAGGGAAGCUUCAGGCUCGAAGAUUGGAGCUCGCCGGCCAUGGCCGCCGCCGGCCAUGGAGAUGGGGGGCGCCGGCGGGGGGAGAGAGGAGGAAGGGAGAGGGAGGAGGAGGGGCUACCUGCUAGGCUCGCUGGCGGCCAUGGCGGAUUCAGGCAGAGCUCCGCCGUCGCCGGAGAAGAAGGGGCUGCAGCUGGUCCGUUACGACGCGCCGCGCGACCAGCUGCGGCUCUGCCCCGCGUACUUAAACCGCGACGAUCAUCAGUGUCGGUCGGGACUUGGGCGAGACAUCAAUAACGGUUGGGACGAGAGUGACCGUUACUGAUAUGUACCACACAUCAGUGGCGAGCACGAUAGGGCGACCGUUACUGAUGUGUGGUUCAUCAGUAACGGUCGUCUCUUAAUCGACCGCCACUGAUGCAUCUCACAAGGAAUGAUGGUACAUCAGUGGCGGUCGCCUCGCGCGACCGUCACUGAUGUAUGGCUGGGCGGGGACGAGCAGACCCUGCUCUGUUCAUCAGUAACGGUCGCGCCGGACCCGUUACUGAUGUGCCGUGAGAUAUAGACUGUUUUGUAGUAGUGCAGCCCACGAUGGGCUAUUCCGAUCGGUCUCUGAAUAUGAUACAAGCUAGGAACGAUUCCAUGUUUGUUGAAUUUCUUUAAUUCUCUUGUGCUACGCAGCGCUCGACGUCGUCAUGGUCGUGGUGCUGGGCGCAUUCGUCGUGGCGGCUAUCUUUUACAUGUAUAGAUGUGCAAAGUCGUGUUCCAAGAGAUCGCGCUUCGCGGGCGGGUCAACGGUGGCGGUGGCGGCAGUGGUGGCGACGACGACGACAAUGCAAGACUACAUGGUGGUGCCGGACCACAUGAUGAAACACACCACCGUCGAGAGGUUCCUCGGGGAGAUUGCCGGCGAGAGACCCGUCCGGUUCACUCCGGAGCAGCUCUCGGGGUUCACGCAUAACUACUCGGCCAGGCUCGGCACCGGCGGGUUCGGCGCCGUGUACAAGGGCAUGCUCCCUAACGGCCUCCUUGUUGCCGUGAAGCGCCUCCAUGCCACCCACGACGAGAAGACCUCCCAAGGGCAGUUCAUGGCAGACGUGGGAACUAUCGGGAGGACCCACCACAUCAACCUCGUCAGGCUCUUGGGCUUCUGCUUCGGUGAUGCUGUUCUCGCCCUCGUGUACGAGUACAUGGACAACGGCGCGCUCGACGCCUACCUCUUCGACCAGGGUCAUGUUGUGAGCCUCCCUAAGCGUGACAUUGCUGUCAGCGUCGCUAGGGGCCUCCGUUACCUCCAUGAGUGUCAACAGAAGAUCAUCCACUAUGACAUCAAAGCAGGGAAUGUUUUCCUUGAUGGUAGCUUCACACCCAAGGUGGCCGACUUCGGGUUGGCACGGUCGGUGAACCGCGUGGACACACAUGUCGCGGUGUCCUGCGUUCGCGGCACCCCUGGGUAUGCUGCACCAGAAAUGUGGAUGCAAUCAGGCGUCACGGAGAAGUGUGACGUCUAUAGCUUUGGCAUGCUACUACUGGAGAUCAUCGGUCAGAGGCGGAACUUUGACCAGACCGCGCCGGAGAGCCUACAAUGGUUUCCCAAACUAGCUUGGACCAAGUAUGAAACCGGCGAGGUGAUGGAACUCAUGGUGCCACCUGUCCGCAGUGAGGAAUUACAUGGUGUCUCCGUGGCAAAUUGACGGGAGCUGGCGCAGAGGAUGUGCAAGGUGGCAUUCUGGUGUGUGCAGCAGCAGCCAUCGGCGAGACCACAAAUGAGUGCAGUGGUCAAGAUGCUUGAGGGCGAGAUGAACAUUGCCGCGCCAGCAAAUCCAUUCCAGCAUCUUAUAGCAUCGGCGACCGUGGCAGACCUAUCAACAACAAUGGAGAGCGUAAACACAGUACCAAUGCCGAUGAAUGAGACUACAACCUCAUAUCCAAGAUGUAAAUCCUUUUAGAAGCAAAGCCAGUCAAGUAUUUGACCAUGAAUCCAUAAAUUAUUACUUGCAUUAAACGUCAGAUUCGUAUUACUAGAUUUAUCGUGAAAUAUAUGUGAUUAUCUAAUGCUUAAUUAUUUUUAUGCGAGGAAACAUGUGCUUGCACGGAAAUUCGUACUCAAAGUACCAUCUUGAAGACUAUGUCAAUAUCUAAAAAGAUGCCUUCAUAGUUGCAGUAGAAGGCCUGGCACCUGAAAGUUCAGCUUUCUACUCGAACUUGGUUCAUUGUUAAUACAAUAUAAUUCAGAAGCUAAUGUUUGCAUCAAGAGUGUAAUCAUGUGUUUAAAUCCCAAAGUGCUUUGGGACGAGGUUUGUCUUUGGACACACGAUAUGACGAUACAUUGAGACUGGGGUUUUGAUUUGUCUGGAGUGUGAGUUGCCACAUUUUCAGCUUGAUAGUUGAUACAUUGAAGAAUCUAGAGAUCAAAAUCUGCAAACAGAUCACUUGCUGAUUUGACAAAGGAGUAGUUAAGACUAGGAAAUCUGCUAAUUAUUCAAUGAUUGGGAGGUUUUUAUGGUCAGUGAUUGUCGAAUCUCACCUCCUAAACCAUCUAAAUCAAGCAAAUCAGCAGAAUCGAAGAUUUAGGGUAGUGAGCAGUGAGCUGGACGGGAGAGAGAGGAAUAUCGAAGAACUGAGGCUUAUCCUCUCCGUUUUCUAUUCCAUCCCCUUUUCAUGGCUUUUACAUUUACAUUAUUCACCUUAUGACAUUCUAUAUUUACACUUAGGUACAACACAUCUCAACACUCCCCCUCAAGAUGGGGCGAAAGCGUCAUAUAGUCCCAUCUUGCUGCAUAGACUUGAGAAAUUUUUUCUUAGGCAAACCUUUUGUUAAAAUAUCAGCUAACUGAUUCGCGGAACUCACAUAAGGCAUGCCGAUCACUCCUUGAUCCAAGUUUUCCUUAAUAAAAUGUCGAUCAAUUUCAAUAUGUUUUGUUCGACCAUGUUGUACUGGGUUGUGAGCUAUAUCUAGUGCUGUCUUGUUGUCACAAUAUAGCAUCACGGGUCUCGCUUGAAACAGUCCUAGCUCCAUUAACAUGAUCCUUAGCCACAAUACUUCACAAAUUCCAUGUGCCAUUGAUCUAAAUUCUGCUUCUGCGGUAGACCUGGCAACAACAUUUUGUUUUUUACUUCGCCAAGUGACAAGAUUACCUCCCACAAACGUACAAUAACCUGAAGUUGAUUUUCUAUCAUCUAGACAGCCAGCCCAAUCAGCGUCAGUAUAGCAUUCUACUUGCAAGUUACCAUUUGAUUUAUAUAACAAUCCACGUCCUGGGCACCCUUUCAAGUAUCUAAUAAUUCUGAUUACUGCAUUCAUGUGUUGUUCCUUGGGGUCAUGCAUGAACUGACUUACAACACUCACAGCAAAAGCUAUAUCUCGUCGAGUGUGUGACAGGUAUAUUAAACGUCCUACUAAUCUUUGAUAUUGCUCACGAUCUAUAGGUUGCCCUGGUUCACAAGUCAGUCUGUGAUUUUGUUCAAUCGGAGUAGAAGCUGGACGACAACCUAACAUGCCAGUUUCAGCUAAUAGGUCCAAUAUAUAUUUCCUUUGAGAUAAGUAGAUACCUUUUGUACUUCUGGAGACUUCAAUACCAAGGAAGUACCUUAGCUGCCCAAGAUCUUUGAUUUCAAAUUCUUGUGUUAGCUUCUGCUUCAGGUCUUCUAUCCCAUCAAUAUCAUCUCCUGUAAUAACAAUGUCAUCAACAUAAACUAUUAAUAUAGCCACUUUUCCCAUAUUGUGCUUAUAGAACAGAGUAUGAUCAGCAUUGCUCUGUUUAUAGCUCAGCUGUAACACAACACGCCUGAACCAAUCAAACCAGGCACGUGGUGAUUGCUUUAGACCAUAUAGAGAUCGAUGUAACCUCAAAACCUUACCCUCAGUUUGGGCAGUACUAAACCCUGGAGGUAUGUCCAUGUAAAUUUCCUCCUGUAAAUCACCAUGAAGGAAGGCAUUUUUAACAUCAAAUUGAUAUAGUUUCCAGUCCAUAUUAGCAGCACACGAUAUUAAGGUUCUUAUUGUGUUCAUUUUAGCCACAGGAGCAAAGGUCUCCUCAUAAUCUAUUCCAUAAGUUUGGGUGUAACCCUUUGCUACCAAACAUGCUUUGUAUCGCUCCACUUUACCUUCAGGGUUAUGUUUAAUGGUGUAAACCCAUUUGCAUCCCACUGGCCUUUUUCCAAGUGGCAAGUCAACCAACUCCCAUGUCUUAUUUUUUUUCUAGUGCCAACAUCUCUUCCAUCAUGGCUCUCUUCCAUUUUUUAUUCUCCAUAGCCUCCCUCCAAUCUCUUGCAAUAGAUGUAGCAUCUAGAAAAGCUAUGAAUCCUUUAAACUUUGUACUACAGUUUUCAUAACAAAAAAAAUUUGCAAGAUCAUGUUUGUAGCCCACAUAAUCCUUAAGCUUUUCUGGUAUGCUAGUUUUUCUCACCGAUUUCUGCAAUGCAAUGGGAGGAUCACUUGCUGGAUUAUUAGGGACAACUGAAGUACCUUGAGUACCUUCUUGUCCCAUCUCACGGCCAACCUCCUCCCGAAAAGAAUCAUCCUCUGGAACAGAUAUGCAAUCACCCCUUUCUCUUGUUUCUUCAUAAGUAGCUUCAGACAAGGAAUUAUUAGUCUCCAUAAUCUGUUGAAUGGGAGGGACAUCACAUACCUCAUUGUUUGCAGUGCCAUCAGUAUCGUGCUCCCCCUCUCCUUGAUUCUCCUGCUGAGACUUGUCUAUCAUAGGUAUCAAGAAUGAACUACCAGGAAUUUUCUCUUCACUGGGGUUCUCCCCCUCACGAUUAAUUCCACGAGGAACACUAGUAACUGAAGGAUAAAAUGGUUCAUUUCCCAGAAUGUGACAUCCAUACUUACAAAGAAUCUCUUCUCUGCGGGGCUCCAACAACGAUAACCUUUCUGAGUGGAUGAAUAUCCCAAGAAUAUACACCUGAUAGCCCUCGGAUCAAGCUUCCCUGCUGAAUUUCUAUAAUCCUGAACAAAACAUGUGCAGCCAAAUAUUUUCGGAGGGACAGUGAAGGCAUUAGCUCCAAUCAAACAUUCCAUUGGAGUUUUAUGAGCAAGAACUCUCGAGGGCAUGCGAUUUAUGAGAUAAGCCGCUGUUUUUACGGCUUCACUCCAGAAAAAUUUAGGCACAUUCAUCUCAAACAUAAGUGAUCUGGCAACUUCCAAUAAGUGCCUAUUCUUUCGUUCCGCAACUCCAUUUUGGGCAGCAGUAUUAACACACGAAGUUUGAUGCAUAAUACCAUGUGAAGACAAGAAAUUAUCGAAAUCUCUGUUAACGUACUCAGUGCCAUUAUCUGUACGAAGUACUUUUACCCUGGCACUGUACUGAUUACCCACCAAAGCAGAAAAAUCUUUAAAAGCAGAAAAAACUUCACUUUUAUGCUUAAGCGGAUAUAACCAAGUACAUCUACUAAAACCAUCAAUAAAGGUUACAUACCAACGCUCUCCUAAUACAGAGGUUACAACUGAAGGACCCCACACAUCGGAGUGCACUACCUCAAAAGGUUCUUUACUUCUUUCGUUCGUGCUAGGAUAGUUAGUGCGUGUGUGCUUAGCUAACUCACACACGUCACACAAAAGGUAUUCCUUGUUGCAGGAUGCAAAUAAAGAAGGAUACAUACGUCCUAGAGACUGGAAUGAUGGAUGUCCAAGCCUCCGGUGAAGUAGCAACAAUUCACUGGUAGCCAAGGUACAAGUAGUACUGAGUGCAAGUGAAGCUGCUGCAUUAUCAAGAUAAAUACAAGCCUUCACGCUCGGUGCCAGUCCCAAGUACUUUUCCUGUCUUCAGAUGCAAAAACACACAAAAAUCAAGUUCAAAUAUAGCUCUACACCUCAAUGACUUGGUGAGUGAGCUGACCGACAACAGAUUCACAGGAAAAUUAGGCACAUGUAGAACAGAGUCUAAGGGUAGAGAUGAUGUACAACUAAUGGUUCCACAACCCAUUGUAGGUGCCGAGGAUCCAUCAGCUAUGCAAACUUUCUCCCUUCCGGACCGAGGUGUAUACGAUGAAAAAUACUUUGAUAGCCCAGCCAUAUGAUUAGUAGCACCUGAAUCAAUAACCCAUGGAGUAAGUAAAUGAUUCACACCUUUUCCCACUUGGGUGCUUGAGGUAGCUUCGCUAGGAUUAUCUGCAUCAGCGGUCAUGAGUUUGGCCUUGAAUUCCUCUAGCGCUGUGACUUGAGGUGCUACAUUUACCUGCUGUUUGCCUGCAGAUGCACUGAAAGGGACUCGAUCUGGCUUUCUUUCAAGGUUACCUGCAGCCGCGAAUCUAGUAUUCUGCCUUUGCUGCCACCCAGGAGGAUAACCCACUAACUCGAAACAAUUUUUUUUUUAUGUGCCCUGGUUUCUUGCAAUGGUCGCAUAUCACUCUGGUUCUCUUGUAAUCAAACUUAACAGCAUUAGCUUGAUCAUUCUUAGGAACAGCCAAAGAUUUGUCUGGAGUGUGAAAUGACAAUGCAGCUCGAGCAUCAACAUUAACAUAUGGAACCACCACUUGAUUUUCUAACCUGGUUUCCUCCUCAAGGGUGCUAGAAAUAGUCUGAUCUAAAGUACUCCAGUCUGGUGUUGUCCAUAACAUCUGAGCUCGCAGACUAAAUUCCGGAUUCAGUCCUUCAAGAAAUAUUUGCACAAGUACCGGCUCAACCACUCCUUCAAGAGAGACAAAUCCCUAGGAUCAUGUGGCUUGAAUGGUCUAAAAAACUCAAGGUCUUGAUAGAGCUUCUUGAGUCCCCCUGCAUACUCUGUCACUGAUUUCUGGUCUUGCUUAAGAUGCAUCAUCUCGUGUAGUAUCCUGCUGACCUGCAUUUUGUUUGAUUUUCCAGAAAAUUGUUUCUCAAUAUUUUUCCAAACUUUGGCUGCUGUUUGAAAAUUCUCUACUUGCUCCCGAACAGUUUUCUCCAUAGAACUUAGGAGCCAAACCAUUACCUUCUUUUGGUUCUGCUCCCAUUGUUCCUGAGCAGCAUCUUCAGGCUUCUUACUAUCUUCUUCAAGAAAAUGCUGUAGAACAUGUGCUCCCAAGAUUAACUCAGUACCGUGCCCAGCUGAAAUAGUCACCGGGGCCGCUAAGCUUCACUGGAUUUGGCUCUAGCAUAGCCUUCACCCCUUCAGACGUAACACCACUACCAGACUUCGCCUGGGCUUGCUCCAUCAACAGGGCUAGCAUUUUUUGCAUACUAUCACAUAAUUUCUCCACACUCUUGUCUCCCAUCAUUUCUAACAGAACUUAAUCACAAGGAAUCAAGCUGAACCAAAUGGGGCAAAUUCUUGACAGCCUCAGACCCAUGAAUCGCAAAGGAUUCAACUUAAUCUGAAGCAAAGCAGGGCAAAGAGGUUCCAACAAAAAACUCCACGGACAGAUCAAGAAGAAAUACCUCAGAACCAAGCUGAAUCGCUUCCUUUCUCAGCAAUCAUCCGACGAACACCAACCUGUCCACAGUGCCACACUCACUGCCGCAAAUCACCACAAUCUGCCACAAUCUGACUCGUCGGCCUCAUCACGGAUCUGCCUGCUCUGAUACCAUGUCGAAUCUCACCUCCUAAACCAUCUAAAUCAAGCAAAUCAGCAGAUAUCAAAGAUUUAGGGUAGUGAGCAGUGAGCUGGACGGGAGAGAGAGGAAUAUCGAUGAACUGAGGCUUAUCCUCUCCGUUUUCUAUUCCAUCCCCUUUUCAGGGUUUUUACAUUUACAUUAUCCACCUUAUGACAUUCUAUAUUUACACUUAGGUACAGCACAUCUCAACAGUGAUAACUCUUCCUGUAUCAAGUAUCAACUGCGACGGUAGACAUAUUUUAUGGGAACUUAAUUUACAACGUACAGAGGUUCCUUUGGUUUCAUCUCAGGCUAGAACCGGCCGGCAAGCGAAACAACCUAGUAGAGGGAGAGGGAGCUAGCUAGCUGGGUCGGCCAGCCGGCAUGUCCUGUGUCUUGUCGCUUGUUACUAAAAAUUGGAAUUAAUUCAUAAACUCUAACCCUGCCAACCAUCCCAUGAUAGAGGGAGGGAAAGGGAAGUAUUGUAGCACUAGCUCAGCCAACCAUCCCAUGACCGUGCCUCUCAUCUUCUUCGAUCCUUCCUUGUUUGCUUCAGUAGCAGCCGGUGGGAAGAGAUGACGACAGAAGCAGGCUACACCGGUGCGUGGCAUGGCAGCCCACAACAGCGAUUCCGACCGGUUUCUGAGUAUAUUACCAGCUAAGUACCCUGUUUUUGAUUUGGUUAAUUCUCUUGCUCUGCUCAGCCAUCGGAGUCGUCGCAGUCGUGGUGUUAGGCGCGUUUGUCGUGGGGGCGCUCUUUUACAUGUAUAGAUGCGCCAAGUGGUGUCUCAAGAGAUCGCGCUCUAUGGACGAAUCAACGGUGGCAGCGGCGCCGGCGGCGAUGGCGACGACGAUGACACAGCACUAUGCGGUGUUGCCGGACGACGUGAUGAAACACGCCACUGUCGAGAGGUUUCUCGGGGAGAUCGCCGGCGAGAGGCCCAUCCGGUUCACUCUGGAGCAGCUCUCGGGGUUCACGCAUAACUACUCGGCCCGGCUUGGCUCCGGUGGGUUCGGCGCCGUAUACAAGGGCAUGCUCCCUAACGGCCUCCUUGUCACCGUGAAGCGCCUCCACGCCACCCACGACGAGAAGACUUCCCAGGGGCAGUUCAUGGCGGAGGUGGGCACCAUCGGGAGGACCCACCACAUCAACCUUGUCAGACUCUUGGGCUUCUGCUUCGACGACACCGUGCUCGCCCUGGUGUACGAGUUCAUGGACAAUGGCUCGCUCGAUGCCUACCUCUUUGACCGGGGUCAUGUCGUCGGCCUCCCUAAACGUCGUGACAUUGCUGUCGGCUUUGCUAGGGGCUUCCGGUACCUACAUGAGGAGUGCAGGCAGAAGAUCAUCCACUACGACAUCAAGGCCGGGAACGUCCUCCUCGAUAGCGGCCUCACACCCAAGGUGGCUGACUUCGGGCUAGCGCGGUUGGUGAACCGCAUGGACACACAUGUCUCAGUGUCUUGUGUUCGUGGCACCCCUGGGUAUGCCGCACCCGAGAUGUGGAUGCAAUCGGGCAUCACGGAGAAGUGUGAUAUUUACAGCUUCGGCAUGCUACUACUGGAGAUCAUCGGUCAGAGGCGAAACUUUGACCAGACCAUGACGGAGAGCCAGCAGUGGUUCCCCAAGCUGGCAUGGACCAAGUAUGAGACUGGUGAGUUAAUGAAACUCGUUGUGCCGCUGGCACACUGUGACCAGAAUGGCGUGCCUGCGGCGAAUGAGGUGCCCCAACCACAACUAUGCAUGGAGCUGUGGGAGAGGAUGUGCAAGGUGGCAUUCUGGUGCGUGCAACAACAGCCGUCAGUGAGACCACAGAUGAGUGAAGUGGUCAAGAUGCUUGAGGGUGAGAUGGACAUUGCUGGGCCGGCAAACCCAUUCCAACAUCUGGCACUAAAAUGAUACUGCCACCUCACAUCCAAGAUAUAAGUCCUUUUAGAAGCAGAGCCAAUCAAGUAUUCUAUGUUUGACCACGAAUUGGUGGAUCGAAUUACUUGCACGGAAAGCAUCAAAUUGAUAUCGGAUCUGCUAAUCCUCAGUCGCCUGAGAAAGGUUAUUUCCCACUCGAUCAGAUUUGUGUGGAGGUAGAGAAAUUUAUAAGUAGGGUAAGGGCUAACUUCUAAUAUUGACGGUUGGUUGGUGUUGUGGUUAGAUCAACACUACAGUUUUAGAAGGUUGCAGGUUCGAUACUUGGUGUCCAAUUUUUUUUAUUUGUCUUUCUUUUUUCUUCUUUCUUUUGGUUUUCUUAUGUAUUAUAUAUUGCUUUUUUUUUUAUCGCUCUCUCACUCUCUCUUCGUUUUUCUUGUUUUAUUUUUAUUUAAUUUGCCACUCUAACUUAAGAACGAGUAGCUACAGUAAAUUUCAGAGAUAGCAGCUAGUUGUUCGUAACAUUUAACCGAGAUUUUAUUUUUUUGAUGAGGUUUCAGAUAUCGGGUGACUCCUUAGCCGUUGAAUGUGUCGUUUCUUUUUUGGAAAUACACAAAACCAUUUAUUUUUCAUGUUGUUUAAGAUUUAUUUUUAUGCCUAACACAAUGUAUUAGUGUUCGUAUCACUUACACUUACUUUAGUAGUAGAAUUGAGCGUCCAUCCCAUGGACAUUCACGUGUCAACAAUGUGAAAUCUUUUUCAUUUAAAAUUAUUUUUUUGUUAAAAUAUCCUUCCCAUUUCACCUGCAAUUUUUGGGAUCGCGCAUAAACUUUUACCUCAAUUUUUAGAAUCGCGCAUAAGAUUUCACCCGCAAUUUUUUAGAAUCGUGCAUAAACUUUCACCUAUAAUUUUUUAUAAUCGCGCCUAAAUUUUCACCCGCAAUUUUUUAGAAUCACGCAUAAAAGUUUGACCUGCAAUUUUUAGAAUCGCGCACUUUCACCUGCAAUUUUUGAAACCGUGUAUAAACUUUCACCUGCAAUUUUUAGAAUCAUGCAUAAAGUUUAACCUGCAAUUUUUAGAACCGCACAUAAAUUUUCACCUGUAGUUUUUAGAACCACGCAUAAAGUUUCACCUGUAGUUUUUAGAACCACGCAUAAAAUUUCACCUGCAGUUUUUAGAAUCAAGGUUGGACAAAAUUACGGGCUGACAUAAGCAGUGAUUAGCAUGAGGCUUAAUGAUGGAUUACAUGUAGCUUAAUUAUAGUAAGUUUGGUCGGGUGCAUCACGUCGACUGAGAAAAGAGUUUUCUCAGUCGACUGAGUUCUAGUCAGACCCAAUUGAUAUGUAUGUGGUUUUCUAAUAUAUAGUCGGUUUUAUACGAGGAAACAUGUUUGCAUGGAAAUUGGUACUUAAAGUACCAUCUUGAAGAUCCCUAUGUCAAUAUCCUAACAGGAAGCCUUCGUAUCUGAAUGCAGGAGGCGGGUAUUGAUAGAAAGUUCAGAUUUCCAAUCUAGCCAUGUGGAUUAUUAAUGACAAAAUGAUUCAAACACUAAUGUUUGUAUCAAGUGUAAUGAGUUGUUUAAUCCCAGAGGCAAGUGUUACAACAAGGAUCGCGGCCGGGCUCCAAGAUGAUCGAACAAAAAGAGUUCUGUUUUGAAAAUGGAAGCUUAUAUUACCACCGUCCGGCGUGUAUGUUUGUAUCCUCACGGGUACGCACAACCAAUUGGCUUCAGGAAUGAAACAAGAUAAAAUAAGUGCUCUUGGUCUCUGCAUCGAAAGAGCGUCAAAAAUUUCUACCGCACCGUUACAUCGAUCACAUGGUAAUUUAAUUUAUUUACACCGUGGAGUCCACGGCGACCAUGCAUCAACGAGCCCAUUAACCAUUUGCUGGAGAUCUAUGGAGCCGGCGGCCGGCCGGCAUGCAUGCAUGUCCUGUCUUGUUGGCCAGUUCCCUUUGGUAUUAUAUGUUCUCGGCUUUUUAAAAGCUUAUUAGGCCGGGAUGAGAAGAGGAAUUAAGCAAAAACAACAGUUUCUUGGUGGGCGAUCCCACAUAUUUAACAUUGUGACUAUAAUUUGGUUGCAAGGAAGAACGCAGUGAAAGCGGAUCCCACAUAUUUAACAUUGUGACUCCGAUUGCCACAAAAAUUACAGAUGCUCCUUCCAAACCUUAGAAAUAUGGCAACGACAUGGCAGUGCUUACGAGAAUGACAUUUCAGAUAAAUUUCAUGGAUCCAGCAAUGACCACACAUUCCCUUGAAGUAGCAGAUGGCUCUCGGUUAACAAAAAUGAGAAAGAUAACACAUGAAUUAAAGCGCAGCCCAUCCGAUCUCAUGCUCCCAAGUCCCAAUGCCAAGUUAUGGUUUUCAUUGGCUCCCAAGUCCCAAAUGCAUGCCAUCAAAUCACAAAUAACUCUUUGAUCAGCGGAUAUACAACAAGUACAGUACGACUCAUGGCGACGACAAUGACAUACAGAAACCUCAGGUCUGUGGGAUCAACAAUGUCGUGUGUGCUCGUGUAUGCAUGCACCACCGAACAAAAAGAAGACCUUGCCGUCGAUCGUUGCUUCCUUCAGGGUUCGGUGUGCCCGUUAACCAUCUUGUGUUGAUAUGAUCUAAUACAAAGUCCUCUCCCGAAACAAGAAAAGAACCUUACGGAUGGCAAUGACAUGACAAUAUAUGCUUAGGAGAAUUAUUCCAGACAAUUUUUCCUGUAUCUGGCAAUGACCGCAAUUAAUCCUGAACUAGCACAUGGCUCUGAACAAAUUAUUGAGAAAGAUGUUACAUAUGAAUAAAGCGCAGCCCAUCCAAUCCCAUUUCCUUUUUCUCGAUCGUCAUCUUGUGCUCCCAAAGCCCCAAAUGCCACAGAUUUGGCGAAAUCGCAAGCAACUCUUUGAUCAGUGGAUAUACAAGUACAACUCAUAGCGACAAACAUAGAGAAACCUCAGGCGCAGCCUCAGGAUCAACAAUGUCGUGUGCUCGUGUAUGCAUGCAUGCACCACCAGACAAAAAGAAGACCUCACCGUCAAUCGUUGCUUCCCUAGCUUCAGGAUUCGCUGUGCCCGUUAACCAUCUUGUUGAUAAACUUGGGGAUCUCCACGUCGAAUCCAAAGAACGUGAAGUUCUGUGGCACCUUUGGCAAAGUUGCUGACGGCAUCGGCGGGAACGAGAUUUUCGCCAGCCCCGAGAAGUCCGGCAUCUUGGGGAGCGGCAGGCCGGCUGCUGCCGCUGCUGCAACACCUUUCUCACCACCCCCGGCAGCAGCAGGCUGCUGCUGCUUCAUGGCGGCAAGGGUGACAAGCAUAUCUGGUGUCACGUUCGGAGGUAGCUGGCCUGGUGGAACGUUGGCCCACGCCUCAGGUGGGAUCUUGGACAACAUCUCUGGUGUCACAUUGGCGGGGAGGUUGGCAAGCAUCUCUGGUGGCACAUUGGCUAACAUCCCUGGUGGCACAUUGGCAAGCAUCCCAGGCGGCACGUUGGCAGGGAGGUUUACCGGUACGUUCCCUGGAAGGUUUGCGGGGAGGUUCCCUGGAAUGUUGUCGGAGAUGUUCAUAGGGAGGUUGCCUGGGAUGUUCGCCGGCAGGACGGUGGGAGGAAGCGGCGCUGACGCACCUGGUAGGUUCCCCGAAAUGUUCCCAGAAAUGUUGCCUGAGAUAUUGAUGGGGAGGUUCCCCGGAAUGUUGUCCGAGAUGUGUGCCGGGAGGCUAGCAGGAGGAAGCGCCAUCGAUGCACCUGUAAGGUUCCCCGAAAUGUUGCCCGAGAUGUUCACAUGGAAGUUCCCUGGAAUGUUGUUUGAAAUGUUCACAGGGAGGUUGCGCGAGAUGUUUGCAGGCAAGCUAGUGGGACGAAGCGGCGCCGGUGCACUUGGCAGGUUCCCUGAAAUGUUGCCCGAGAUGUUUGCAGGCAAGCUAGUGGGGUGAAGCGGCAUCGGUGCACUUGCCAGGUUCCCCGAAAUAUUGCCCGAGAUGUUCACGGGUAGGUUAGCCGGCAAGCUGAGCGGCGGCAGUGCACCUGACAGGUUCUCUGGAAUUUUGUUAGUGAUGUUCAGAGAGAGAUUUGCUGGGAUGUUCGGCAGUAGAACAGCGGAAGAAAGCGAUGGUGGUGCACCUGGUUGGUCCCCUAGAUUUUUGUCAGGGAUGUUCGCCGGGAGGUUGGCCGAGAUGUUCGCCGGCAGGCUAGCGGGAGGAAAUGGUACUGGCGGUGCACUUGGUAGGUUCCCUGGGUUUUUGUUAGGAAUAUUCACGGGUGGGUUGGUUGAAAUAUUCACUGGUAGGCCGGCAGGAGGAAGCGGCGGAGAUGCACCUGGAAGGUUCCCCGGAAUUUUGUCGGGGAGGUUCACGGGGAGGUUGGGCGGGAUGUCAGGAUGAAGCAGCGGUGGCGCACUUGGCAAGUUCGCCGGAAUUUUGUCGGGGAGAUUGGGCGGGAUGUCGGGAUGAAGCAGCGGUGGUGCACGUGGCAAGUUCCCCGGAAUUUUGUCGGGGAUGUUCACCGGGAGGUUGGCCGGGAUGUCAGGAUGAAGCAGCGGUGGCGCACCUGGCAGGUUCCCCGGAAUUUUCUCGGGGAGGUUGGUCGGGAUGUUUGCCGUCCUUUCAGCGGCCCUCAGAAUUUCGUGAGGGAUAUGCACGGGGAUGUCGGUCGGUCCGCCGACAGUAGGAAGCGCCGUCAGUGCACCGGGUAGGUUCCCUGGAAUUUCGCGAGGAAUGUUUGCCGGCCUUUCGGCGACAGGAAGUGGCAGAGGUGCACCUGGUAGGUUCCCCGGAACCUCGUGAGGGAUGUUCACCGGCAGAACGGCAUGAGGAAGUGGUGGCGAACCAUUUGGACUUUCAGCCAAGAGGCGCACCGAUGCACAUAACUGCACGUCUGUGAUGGACAAGAUGGCCAGGAAAGUCACGUAGCAGAGAGAUCUCAUCGUGACUUCCCCUUGGAAUUGAGGAAUGAUGAGGAUCCCAAACCUGGCAAAAUUUUGUCAAAAUCCGCAAGAACAAGACGAUGAACUUUUUUGCAGAUAUAUGGAUUACAAGAAUCUGACUGUACAAGGGCCUAAAUUUGGCGAAUGGAGAGCCUAAAUGUAGCAACAAAAGAACACAUGCUUGAUUAGCACUUUAGCAGCCUUGCCAAAUAUAGGUGUCUCAAUUUGCCAUGAAUCCAACUAGCCGAUUCCAUGCCAAGUAUAGAUAUUACUGUCUGGAAAACUCUGGACAUGGUUAAAACGAGGGGUUUGCAUGCCCUCUGGACAUCAAAAUUAAUGCUGGCUAUGCAUGGCAGGACAACGGACAGAGCAUCUCCCCUUGUUGAAUCCCUAACUGAAUUUCUUCAUUGCAUACCACCAUAGAUGUACUGAAGCUAUUUAUGCGCAUGAGCAUGUCAUAUACUGUAAUUCACCUGAUUCUGCCAUUUCAAUCUCACACUGAAGUCGAUCGAUCCACUAGGACUGAACUUUCUUUUUCAGAAGAGUUACACAACAUAGCGUGCAAGAUGUACCAGCCCAAAAGGUAUAUAAACCAGCAGCCAUUUGUGCUAUGGCCGUCACAAAAUCCGUUAGGCCAUUGGUUGUCCUGAUUCCUCGGAGCAACUCUAGCACUUACCAAACCCGAGCGAUCCGAACUAACCGAGUUCGGAUCAAUCAAAUUCAAGAAUUCAGUACCGUCCGACUUCCGGCAGAACAGAGAUACUGAAUACGGAAACCGAACAACACAGAAAUCUGAAACUUCACGUGAAAUUCAUAUAAAUAGGGGGUUGGUUUUUCGCGAUUCACAUCACAGAUCAUCGGAGUUCAUCAUUCGUCCACAUACUUAAGUUCUACUACAUCUACUAGUUCGACAUUAACCAAAAGUUAGCUAAAUUAGAGGAGCAAACACCCAAAAACAAAAUUGCUCCUCGCCGGCCCCGCCGGCUUCCGGUCCCCUUGCCGGAAUGCUUACUUACUUAUCGUUCGAAAGGACGAUGACCGAGGGAGCUGCCGUCACCUGAGCCGCGUUGGGGAGGUUGUAUGCUGCCGCGAGCAUCCUCUCCUCCAUGGCGAGGCGGCGCGCAUCGUCUUCGGCGAUGGAGUGCUUCAACGCCUCCUUCGCGCACAUGAUGUCCUCGGGGUCGAACCCUGCCUCCGCAAUUUCCUUCGCCUCUGCCGCAUCCUCCUCCCCCUCCGCAUCCGCCGGCUUCUCCCCGACUAUCUCCACCGAUGAAUCGGAGGAGGAAGAUGAGGAGGGAGGAGCCAACCGGAGCCAGUCACCCGCUGGCUUCGGGUGGACGCCGCUCGAGCUCCCCUCCCCGGCGGCGGCGUAGCUGUAGCGACAGUCCCCAUCCCCUCCCCUGCGGGCACGGCGGCCGGCCUCGGAUUGGCGGCGCCGGACAUCUUCCUCGGUGAUGGUGAGCCGGACGCCGCUAGGGUUUCCGUGUCCGCGGGGACUGACGGCCAGACGCGUGCGACGAGCGGCGGAGGAGAUCGGGGGCCGCAUUUUGCCGUGGAAGCUCGCCGGAAAUGGAGUGGGUGGCGGAGGCGGCAGAGGGGAGUGGAUUGCGGCGGAGGGGAGUUCAGAGUUGCUAACAAAAACCCCCCUCCGAAUGCUACAUAUAUUGCGCGGAAGCGAAGCGAUUCGGUGACCCGAAUUAGAUUUUCGAUAAAUAGGCUCGAUUCAGUAUCUGGUCUGGUCCAUUUUUCGGCCCAAAACUCAAAACCGAGUUCGGUUCGCUCGGGUUCGGUAACUGAUAGAGUUGUUCUCUGGGUGGGCAAACCGAGGAACCGGAACCGCUGAUUUGUUUGGUUCAGGGGUCGUGGGCCAACCCACGCUGAUCCAACCUGCCCAAAUAGCUUUUUGCCCGUCUUUGGUAGGGGGGCCUGGUUGGGCACGACCCAAAAAAAGGCCCAAACCGCGGCUCACGGGGCAAAUAUCCUACCCGCACGCCGGCACCCGACCUCCGCAAACCCGCCUCGCCCACCUCCGCACGCCCGUCCCCAACCCCUUCGCUGCAGGCGACAGCUGACGCGGCGGCGGCCAGGCCCAGACGCCGCGGCAACCAGGCAUCUCCUCCCCUCCUCUUUCUCUGGUCCCCUCCCUUCCUUCCUCCUCUUGCUCUCCUGGCCUAGCGGAUCUGCGAUUGCGACGGCUAUGGCGGCGGAGGUGGCGACGACGACCGGCGUGUCCGUCUUCGUCCUCCUCUUCUUCCGUCUACCUCCCUCCCCGUGCAUCUCCCCUCUCCCCCCAUCUGUGCCGCUGCUCCUCCUUCUCUCCUCCUCUCCCGGCCACUGCUCUCUCCUCUCCCUCUCCCGGCCACUGCUCUCUUCCAUAUCUCUCUAUUUUUUAUCUCUUGUGAUUUCUAGUUGUUGCGACCUGUUUGUAGUUUGAGCAAUGUGUAAAAUGGUUGUGAAACUGCUGUAAUUUUACAGAUGGCCAGGAAUCGAACAAAUUUGUUAAUUUGGGCGGCAGCGGCUUCCAUGUGGAUAUGCAUGGCUUUCGUUGUUGUUGUGACGGGCCAGGCACAACCGGGCCAAGCCCGCUGGGCUUUCGGGCUUUCCGAAAAAGCCCGGCCCGAUGGCCAUGUAUACUCUCCGUCUCUCCCGGUCUCCCCCAUCCCCCGAUUCUCUUCUCCGAGAAGCAGAAGGAGCUGGCCGGAGAAAUCUCGGCGGCGACGGCGCUGCAGGUAACCCUUCUGUCCAUCACCAUCCCCAGCCUCGACCACCUACCAUCUUCUUCCUGUGGGCAGCGCCCCUCUCCUCCCUGGCCAUCUCCUCUGCUUCACGCCAGCCCCUACCCUCCCAUGGCGCCUCCCUACCCUCCCCAGUCCCACGGCGGCCCCCUCCCUCUACCCUUCCAUGUCGCCUCUUCCCCCUCUCCUUCCCAUGGCGCCCCCUUCCUCCCUGAUGUGGUUCCUGCCUCUGCCUCCUCCUAUCAAACCCUAGGACACCACAAGUUCCGUUCUUACCUGCAGGGCUAAUUUAAGUUUGGGAUAGCAAGUUGCAGCAAUCAAAUCAGGAAGAGAUAUAGCACUGAGUGAUGAAUUUUGUGUGUCUUAGAUGCAGGCCAAGUGUUACUAGUUUUCUGGAUUUUUUUACUCUCGAAUCCGCUGUCCUGCAUGCGGUAUACUCAUGUGUGAGAUACGGAGAAUUAGUUUCUGCACUAGUAUUUAUGUUAGUAGCAGUAUCCCGCAAUUAGCUUUUUCGCAGUGCCUCUCCGAUCACUGCAUGUCUGGUGUAACUGAGCUGAUCACCCUCUUCAAUGACUUCUCUUGCCAGGUCUGCUUCACGCGGGGAAGACUUGGGCCAAGAUCAUGGUAAGUUCAUUUCAACUCCUAUUAUGUAGCCAUCUUAAAUUUGCGAUUAAUUUUUGGCUCUGAUCACUCGUCUGUCUCGCUAAAUAUUGCAACUUCACAGGCAAGCCUUGCUGAUUCUUUCUUGGCUGAUCUUGACGAACUGUCAGACAAUGAAGCCUACCCUGUGAGUUGAUUUCUUUGCCUGCUGCGUAACCAUAUUUUACAAGGAUUUUUUUUUGGCAAAUCCUAAAUCUAUUGUCAAACUUUUCAGGAAGAAGACAACGCCGAGGCUGGGGGUGCGGAUGAGGAUAGUGAUGAUGAUAUGCCUGACCUCGAGUCUCUUAAUUACGAUGAUCUUGACAGUGUUUCGAAGCUGCAGAAGACACAACGUUAUAAUGACAUAAUGCAAGUAUGUGAUCAAACUCAUAAAUCUCCACUGGAAUCUCUCUCUCUCUCUCUCUCUCUGUCUCAUAGAUCUAUGUUUAUCUGGCAAAGUAAAACCUUAUUUUGGUUAAGAGUUUUUUUUAGAAAAAAUGCAUAUAGUUAAGAGUAACCAGUCAGUUUUAAGAUGCUGUACAAUGUUUCCCACCAGAACAGUGUAUACUAGUUUAAAAAGAAAUUUUAAAGAACGUAUAUAAUAUGGAUACUGGAGACACUCAGUUCAUUGCUCUUUUCAUGUCUGAUCCAUGGAUAUUGCUUUAGAUGCAGUCAUGGUGCAGAUGAUAAUCUUUUCGUGUGCUCAGUAAGUAGAAAACCAAUAAAAAGAUCAAACUUGGACUAGACCCUGGAAGCGUUAAUAUAGUAAGAAGACAACCUGAGUCGACCUGCAGAGGCUAGGCCUCUAUUGCAAGUGGCCAGUGUUUGCACUCUCACUUUUUGUCAACUUAGCAACUCCUACUUCUUGCUCAAUGUUACAGUGGAUUAUGUGGGAAAUAUUUUGCCAUUCAAUUUGAGUCCGUAGAGCAUAAAGCUCUGUUCAUCUGUAUUUUAGCGUUAAGCUGUGAAAGUCUUCCACUGGCCUCAUUCAUGACAAUAUAUCACAGUUCUGUUUGUUUAUGUCUGCAGAAAGUAGAAGGAGCACUUGAGAAAAGCACAGACUUAUCUAAUCAAGGUUUCAUACUAGAGGAGGAUCCAGAGUAUCAGCUUAUUGUCGAUUGCAAUGCUUUAUCAGUAGAUAUUGAGAAUGAGCUCAUUAUAAUCCAUAAUUUCAUACGUGACAAGUAUAGGCUGAAGUUUCCUGAACUGGAAUCCCUUGUUCAUCAUCCAAUUGAUUAUGCCCGUGUUGUUAAGAAGAUCGGAAAUGAGGUGGACUUAACUCUUGUAGAUCUGGAAGGGCUUUUACCUUCUGCAGUUAUAAUGGUUGUCUCUGUGACAGCAUCAACAACUAGUGGGAAGCCCCUUUCUGAGGAGAAUUUGUUAAAAACCAUUGAAGCAUGUGACAGAGCUCUUAAUCUUGACGCUGCAAAAAAGAAGGUGCUUGAUUUUGUAGAGGGCAGAAUGGGUUACAUCGCACCAAACCUGUCUGCCAUUGUUGGCAGUGCUGUUGCUGCAAAACUGAUGGGAAUUGCUGGUGGUUUGGGAGCACUUGCAAAAAUGCCUGCUUGCAAUGUUCAAUUACUCGGAGCAAAGAGGAAAAAUCUUGCUGGAUUUUCUACUGCCACAUCUCAGUUUCGUGUUGGCUAUCUUGAGCACACUGAAAUAUUUCAGAGCACCCCUCCAGCCCUGAGGACCCGUGCUUGCAGACUUAUAGCUGCAAAGUCAACUCUAGCAGCAAGGAUUGAUUCAAUUAGAGGUGAUCCAACUGGAAAAGCUGGUCGGAACUUGUUGGAAGAAAUUCGUAAGAAGAUCGAGAAGUGGCAAGAACCACCUCCUCCUAAGCUUCCAAAACCACUUCCUGUUCCAGACUCUGAGCCUAAAAAGAAAAGAGGGGGCCGCCGCCUUCGAAAAAUGAAGGAAAGGUAAGCUGUUCUCAACUUUAUUUAUUUGUCUAAAGAAUACAUGUUUAACAGCCUCAUGCUUAUUUGUGUGUUAAACUACUUCCUUAUAUGCUGAAACUUGAUUCAUCACAUAUGCAGCAUGUGUUCUUGUCAUAAUUGUGGAAACUUGAUUCUGCAGAUAUGCGGUGACUGAUAUGAUGAAGCUUGCAAACCGAAUGCAAUUUGGUAUACCGGAGGAGAGCUCAUUAGGUCGGUAUUGACAGGAUGGUUUGAAUAACAUUUUGUUAGUUACUUUCACUAUGCCUUAAAAUUGACAUGAUCGCAUCUUGCUGUCACCAGGUGAUGGCUUGGGUGAAGGUUAUGGCAUGCUUGGGCAGGCCGGUAGUGGAAAACUACGCGUGUCAGCUGCGCAAAACAAACUUGCUGCUAAAGUGGCCAAGAAGUAUGUUGUUUUAGUUCUUCCCACAGCAUCUUUUUUUUUUAUAUUUUGUUCCUGCCAUUUGAUAUUUGCAAUAAGCACACAACUACUACUUAGCUCCCCGAUGGAGGUCUUCUGCCCUUCCGCACCAACAAAAAUAGCAAUCAUAUGUAGUGCAAUGGUUUUUUUCUGGCUUUUUUAAAAUUCAACAGAACCUGGUUCAACUAUUGAGAUGUGCAAAAUUUAAUACAACCUGGUUCAAACUAUUGACAGGAAAAUGAGCAAAACAUUGAAACUUAGAUCAUCCUCAAUUUUAAGAUAUCAAGGCAUACAUCAAUAAGAAAUAGUUAUUACAGCUUUCAAUUCACUAUUAUUAAGUCCACCAUGAUUCCCAAUUUCCCAGAACUUAAUAUGUUCAAUGUAGUGCUUUGUGCUUUAUACCGUGCUCAUAUUUAUGUUCCCCUGUAAAAAUAUCAGGUUGUUUAGUUUACAAACUUCUUCAUUAAUGAUAGUUUCCACCACGUACAAGUUCCAGUAACCCAGCAGGCACUAUUGUUACAAUGCUGCUGCCACUCUCUUUAUUAUCCUUAACAUUGUUGUUUCUAUUUAGUUCCUGAUCUCUUUUGCGAUAUCAUGUCUGCAUCCUCUCUUUGAUAACACGUUACUUUACGAUAUCAGAUUCAAGGAGAAGAGCUAUGGUAGCAGCGGCGCGACAUCUGGACUGACAUCUAGUUUGGCCUUCACACCAGUUCAGGUGAGUUUUAUUUUUUCUUCUCUGGUACACUUCAAGAUAGGUAAUUGUGUUGUGCAUGACCUUUAGCUGGUCCAAAUUUGGAUCCUGGGGUUAUGGCUGCUACCUAGUCUAGAUUGUUAUUUAACUUCUACUAUCUUGUAUUUGGUUAAUUAUUUGUUUGACUUGUGCUUAUGUUUGAGGAAUCUGAACCCUUCAUUUUUGUUUCUACUUUUUUGCUGCACUACUAGAAGAUUCCUAUUUUUUGCUUCCCAAGUCAACAUGAACCAUGUAUGUUCUACGUCAUUCUACUGCACAGCAUUGCAUGGUCUUUUUCCUUCUUAUGAAUCAGGCACUCUAUAUAUUGAGCAAUAUCUACAUAUAUUAAUUACACCUCUCAAUGCUAUUGCACUUUUACAGUCACUGAUUACUCUGUUGGGUUUAGUUUUGAAGGAUUAACCACAUAAAUCCCUGAACACCAUCCCAUCUUAAUAUAACUGUUUUCGCUUACAGGGAAUAGAGCUGUCGAACCCGCAGGCCCAUGGGAAUCAUCUUGGAAGUGGUACCCAGAGCACCUAUUUCUCCGAGACCGGCACAUUCUCAAAGAUCAAAAGGACCUGAGAUCAGAAGUUUGAAGAUCAAAAGGACCUGGGAUUAGGAGAGGAUGGUUCCUUGGUCCAAGCAAUUUAAUCAUCCCAUUCUGUGCACAAUUAUCAGGAGCUCUUGGGAUGCACCUCUAACACAGAACCUGCUUGUAAUAUUCUCAAUGAGUUGAGGCACAAACUCUGGAAACUUUUGCAGUGGUUUGGAACAUAAGUACAGUGCGCUAUAUAACAUGUUUUCCCUGCAGUUGUUACUGAUUAUUGUUGAGCUGUCUUGUACGAGAUUGCUGCGUUCCAAACAUAUGCCUUGACGUGUUAUCAUCAUCGUGUCUCAUGCUAUUGGAUUCUUGCAACCUCUGCUGAGGUUCCAUUACCCUGCAAAGCAAGUUGAGCUCAAGAAAUAUAACUGCAUGCUUUUUUCUUCUCCUUUUGAUAAUUAUAAUUUUGUUUUUCUUCUUGCACUGCUCUAUCAUGUCAGUAUUAAUAAAUAUAGUUGUGUGCAUCGAUUGAUGUAGAGGUCUUGGUUCUUCUUUUCAGAAUAACAAAAAUGAGACCAUGCCUGUUGGAUGUUCUUGAUUUUACUGUUGCGGUGUUCUAACCAGUGAUAAAAUUUGAAGAUGAAUUUCUUACAGUGUACUCCUAAUUUAGGAUGAGAUUUUAUUUGGUUGCAAAAAUCAAAAAAGAAUCAGGCUAAUAGUGCCGACAGAUCAAGUUGUUGGACCACACUUAUGGCUCCAAGAAGGCAUUGGGCCCACAGACCAAUUACGAGCAAGUCGACGGCCCACCCAUCCCUUUCAUUCAACAAGCUAGUAACACUAAUUGCUCUUCUUCCUCGGUUCCUCCACUGAAAAUAGAGAAAAGAGAGAUUGCUCUUCUUCUCCUACCUUUUCCCCUCUUCUCUCUACCUCGCCAAACUCCUACCCGAUCAGCAGCAACUUCAACCGAUAUUUGCUUGGUAAUCCCAUCUCUCUGUUUCGUCUGCUUACUACCUUUCCCCCUCUAAUUUUAUGGUCUGUUUGCCUGUAAUAAAUUCUUCUGAAUAUGCAGCGUCUUGCUGUGCCUUCUCCGUGUUCAGAAAUAGUCUUAAUUUAUUUGAGUGAUGGCACUGGAAAAGUGAAGCUUGAGUUGCUUGCUACCUAACGAUUGUAUGUAUUCUUGAGGGUGCAGCUGAGAAGAUGCCGGAGCAGUCGGAGAACGCGGCGGAGAGCAUGGUGAGCGGCAUCAUGGACGCCAUCGCCGACAAGCUCCCCAAGCAGAAGUCGGUCCGGUUCGACGACGAGCCGGGCUCCUCCAUCUCCGGCCAGGCCAAGAGGCUCUUCGGCGGCCACAAGUCCGUCCACCACAUCCUCGGCGGUGGAAAAUGUCUGAAACCUCAUCACACCUGAAAACUCUUAUCUUCCCCAUCAAUUUGACUACAUGAAUUUGCUGAUGGGUUGAUUAAUUCUUGCUGGAUCCUGACGACCGAUGAUCGCCGAUCGUCACAGCCGCCGACGUGCUGAUGUGGAGGAACAAGAAGAUGUCCUCGAGCGUUCUUGCCGGUGCAACGGUGGCAUGGGUGUUCUUCGAGUGGUUCGGCUACCAUUUCCUGACCAUUGUAUCCUUUGUGCUUGUUCUUGGCAUGGUUGCCCAGUUUGGCUGGUCCAGCUUCUCAGGCAUGCUCAAUGGGUAUGUCUGUAUAUAUAUUCAUUCCUAUACAUACCAUUGAUCUCCAACCAUUUUUCUGCAAGUUUCUUGUAUGAUUUCUGAUUUUUUUUCCCAGGUCAUCUUCUAACGUGCCACGUGUCGAGUUGCCAGAGGAGCUGUUCGCGAACGCAGGCGCCGCCAUCGGCGCCCAGGUGAACAGGUUCCUGGGGAGCUUACAGGAUGUGUCCUGUGGAAGAGACCUGAAGCAGUUCCUAAAGGUAUGAAUGGGGUGAAUGAACUCUGUUCCAUCAGUUUUGCUCCCUUUGCAAACUUGCAGAUAUCAUGAGCAAAGAUUGAAUUCUUCUUUCAGGUGAUCGUCGGGUUACUUGCCGCCGCUUUCGUCGGUGGCUGGUGCAAUCUCAUAACAGUCAUCUACAUUGGUAACAGCAGCUAUGAUUUCACUUCAUAUUGAGGGGCGGUUUAUAUUAACAUAUGAACAGAUAAUCUUUCUGUUUUUCUUCUUCUGUCUGUCAUUUACAUUGGUGCUCCGGUGAUCCCAGGGUUUGUGUGUGCACACACUCUUCCAGUGUUCUAUGAGAAGUACCAUGAUCAAGUUGAUGAGGUCGUGAACAACAUGCUUGGGCUGAUUGGGAGCCAGUACCAGAAGCUUGACAAAGGGGUCCUGAGCAAGAUGCCAAAAGGGAACCUCAAGUUCAAGAAAAGCCAGUAGCUCCAAGAUGUGCCUAAAGGGGACUCUGGAUUGUAGUACUAUAUUGUACAGCUCAUAGCAGUACUGUGUGUAUUUUCUAUGUUUCUCUAUAGACAAUGGAAGUAUCCUCCAUUUAUAUUUAUAUUAAUAGCAGCAAUUUAGCCAUAUUUGAGCCCAAUUUUCUGACUGGCAUCCUUUGACAGAAUGAAAAGAAAAACAAUUUUGAGAGAUGAAAUCAUAACCAGGUUACAUUUGGCUGCAGAAGAGACGACACCACGGUAUCCAUUUGACCAAACAUUAGGCAUGCAAGUUAUAGGUUUUUUCAUCUGCACUGGUCAGGUUUCACAGAUGUUGUAAAUGUAGUCAACAUGUACCAGCUUCCAAACUGUUAAACUAAACAAGAGGCAAGAUGUUUCUGCGUUGAAGGGAACACGAGCCAAAAUUACUACUUAGAAGACCACACUAUUCACACACUAAGUUAUCUCUUGUCAUGUCACUGAACCUGCAUCAAAGUUGCUCGUCGUCAAAGAAUUAAUAGUACAAUUAGGCAAGUGGAGGCCAUAGUUGUAGUUGCACAGAGUUCUCCAGAUUUUACCUCAUAUCACAAGCAUGAGACACAAUAUCCACAGUUAGAACAUCCAUAGUUAAAAAAAUCUAGUUCUUACCACAGAAAUUGAAAAGUUCACACGGAGAGAUGUUUACAGGUACCCACGAAUGUAAAUAGUCUCACUAUCCAUCAAGGCGUGAAAACAUAACUGUGUAAAAUACAUUGUUGAAGACACUAUAAUUGGUCAACAGGGUGGAAAAUCUUGCACACUGCCAAUUUAGCAAUGUUAUUAACUCCUUACUAAAUAAAGAGAAAAUUGGUCCACCCACACAUGCAAUUUCCAUGAUCCUAAACAAAUGUCAGAAACACAAAUAUAUUCCUGGACUUCUAUCCUUCAGAGAUUGCAGCCAAUGUUUUCUUCUCUGCCGAAUGAGAAAUCAAACUCAUCAGUGUUCAGGUUAGUAACAACUGCUAACGACUGAACCAGAUAUUGCUAUAGCAGAUAACCAAUAUCCAUCUGACAGAAAUUACGAGCUUACUACGCAUGGUGAAAACUUUGUUGCGCCAUACGCUGAUACGCAGCCAUCAAUCCUCAUAGCCCGUUCUGGGUCCAUGUCAAUCUGAAAUUCGUCGGCAUUUCCCCUCGGCAAGCGGCAGCAUAGUCUUCAGCGAGCUGUGGCAGAGCUUCCUUGUGAGGGCUUAUGAUCCUCUUCAUGAACAGCUUCUCGCUCAUCAUGACUGCACUAUAGCAGCUCAACUCCCGCUUUAGCAAUCCAUUUGCCUUGAGAAAGUUCAAAACGUAGUACCGGGAUCUGAUCCGGCCCUCCAGGCUGCAAGUGAGCAGUCCCGCCCGGUGAGCUAUGUAUGCCGGUUCCAACCCCACCUCGGAGAUCAGGAACUCUGACAAGCUCUGCAGCGUGUCCUUGGAACGCGCCAGCAACGUUGGAGCCUUAGAAACAGCUAUGCCUGCCUCAGCCUCCGACCACCUGAAUGUGUUCUUCAAAUACUCCACUUUGGCAGCGAGCGCGUCCUCACUCUGGAAUCCGAUAGCAUGCAAUGCAUGCCGGAACAUCUUAGAGCCACGGGGCACACCUAUAGCUUCGGCGCACUUCACCAUCGACCGGAUGCGCUCUGCUUUGGCGGUAAGAAUCCAUGGCACGCCGGUGCACAGUUUGGCAAUAUCACAAUCAGCUAGCCCGCACUCCCGAAGGAAGGCCCGAUUGGGGUCUAUCACCUUGUCGAGGCUGGAGGUGAGAAGGUAGGAGUUUGUCCUGAGGGCCCGGAGGAGGUUCUCGGGGGAACCGAAGAGGGGAAGGUAGUAGCUCAGCUUGGAGACGAUGGAUCUAAUGCGGAAGUGGCUGCCUUCGAGAGAGACGAGGCGCGCGAUCUCAGAAUGCGAUAGACCGAGGCCGGUGAGCUCGACGACGUUGGGUUCCAGGAUUGCCCCGACGCCGGCGCAGAGGAACUUGGGGUCCUUGGCAACGAGGGCGGCGACGUCGGAGCUGGAUAGGCCGAGGCCGGCGAGGAAGGCGAGGACGGCGUCGGGAUUGGAGGGAGACUUGAGGUGGGAGAGCUUCUUGGAGGCCUUGAGGGCUUGCGGUCGGGUGAGGCCGCAGGUCUCGACCAGAUAGUCUGCGACGGCGAAGCCAGGGUUCGGGGAAAUUUGGGGCGCGGCGACCACGGCCGUGGAGAGAAGGCGGUGGAGAGAGGGGAGGGGAGAGGCGGAGGGAGAAGAGAGGAGCCGGGUAAGGACGAAGCUUUGGAGGCGGAUCAUGGCGUCGCCGGCGGCUAGGGAAAGGGGGCGGAUUUGUGGGCGGCGGCGGCGAAGCAGACUGGAAUCAGGAGCGAAGGAGAAAGCCCUCCUUAAUUUUCCUAAAUUCUUUUGAACUAAAACCACUUAACCACGACAAGAACUUUGAAAUGCACAGAGUGAUUCUUUUUACGGAGUUGCCAGUUAAUGCAGAAAGAGACUCAUUUACUAGUACUCCUAGAUUGUUUUGUUGGCGAUUGCAAGAAUGUCUGGUCCACAAAUUUAGGUUUUUUUUUCUGAGGAAGGUGGGAAACCAUUUGCGUCGAUAGCAACACGGCCAUUGUGCAAAUUCGUUUUGGAUUAUUUUUUUUCCUUAUAUUUUUUAGAAAUUUGCGGCUAGCUUUGGAAGGAAACGGUCCAUAAUUCUCUUUGUCUAAAAACAUGACAAGAAUUAUGAGACGCAGGAAACACCUUUUAAAUGAAGAUGUGCUCGCCGGCCUUUUGACUUGCAUAAGGGAUAAUGCGGACCACUCGAUGCUCGCUAGAGGACUUAUCCCCUUCGACCAUGUUUGGUUUUUCUGAACUUUUUUUUCCUGGGUUGUUGGCGUCGCACCUCUUGGUUUCUCGAUGACCGCCGUUAUUUUCUCGCCUUCCUUCCCGUAGCGUUUUUUGCGUUGCGAACAUUGUUUAUCGUUGUCGAUCAACAGUUAGUAUAGGAGGUGUCGAUGCGCGAUGGCCAGAAACAAAGUGGACGCGUACGUCGAUCUUAGGAAAGAUUGCAGUACACCUAGUCCUAUGUUAGGGGAGAGUCAACAAUGGGAUCAUUACCCAAUUUUCAGCCAAACGAGUCUUCUCAAAAUACACUUAGGGAGAGAUCCUUUGGGCCCUCUCAUGCAAUGAGGUCUUUCCGAGCAACGAGAUAAGAAUACCUUUUGAACUCUAACCCAAUUCCGAGCUCCCACCAACCUAAAGCUCCUGCGGAGCCUCUGGGCCUCUCCAUUUGGUUUAUUCAAGUUUAGAGUGAGUGAUACAUGACCCCUUGGAGGUUAUGUAGGUUAUGGGUACAUGACAAAAGUUCAUCGCUGCCUUUUUUUUUUAACACGAUGUCUCCCUUGGUGGGAGAGAGAAAAUGAGGAAAGGUAGGUGUCUUGAUCCAUAUAUUUGUGGAUGCACCAAGUGGGAAAAAGGAAUGGUUGAUGGACCAUAUGCCUUAUUCGUUCAUCAUUUGUCCACUUUGCUUCUAUCCCCUCAUUCUCUUUUCUUCCUCCAAUUUGAGUCAUUUCACUUUGACCAUGGUUAGGAGGAUUGCCUUUUUCGACUUGACUUGACUUUAAUACCUUGUAGGCUUGACCAUGCCACCACGUGUUUGAAUAUUGUUUACUUGGACCGGUCCAUAUAAAAGAUCUUUUCUACGAGAACAAACCCUGCUGUGAACUUUAGUUACUUAGCCAUCGGCUUUUCGUCUGUGCUGUGAUCUUAGCAACUCACAUGCUAACUUUCAAAAAGGAAAAAAGAGGUUAGUAGCUGGUGGAAGUGGAUAUUGAAGUCAAGGGAUUUGGAGGAUACAGUUUGAGAGCUUCCGUUGCUGCCCAGGACAGGAGUGUUUCUUCGCAGGCUCGCAGGUAUCGUAUACACUGGGCCGAGGGAGCUCCCAAGUCCCAAUGGGUGGCUGCCCGUAUGUACUGUACUAGGCAUGGACGUGAGCGCAGUUUUGCGUAAUUGAUGUGAUAAUUUUUAAUGUAUUAUUAGGUAUGUGCAUUUUUUUUUCUGAGCCUGCCGCCUGCAUCUCGAUAAUGCUUUACUCUGCUUUGCCAUGUGAGCUCUUUGCUCUCGUGCGAUUGCAUGUAGAGGCGCGGGUACUUGGAAGUAGCGUGAGGUGCAUCACUACUCAGAAAAAUUGUUGCUUCUCACAAGUUCUUUUUUCAAUUUGUGCGGCAUGCUUUGUUGGGCCUUUUUUUUCCAUUGUCACCAAAUGAUGACACACAAAGAAAAUAAGGUUCAAUAUGAGCCAACCAUAUUUACUCAGAUUUUUUUUUGCGAAGAAUAUUUACUCAGAAUUAAUUGCAUGCAUUGGGAGUAAGCAGUAGGAAGAUCUUCACCACGGAUUCUUCAAUUGCCAUCUAUGAGACGCAUUGCAUGAUAUUACUCUAAAGUUACUGUUUAGUUUUGUACUGCAAUUGACAACCGAAUCAUAUUGACUACUCAUAGCUUUAUGUUGAUCCUGAAAAUUGAAAAGAUGUUUAUUGAAUCAGCUUGAUAAUAGAAACAAGUUGACGAGGUUGUGCCUGUGCCAUAAAUCUGAGUAAACACUAAUGGCUCCAAACCAUAUAUUUGUGUAUACAAAAGAAUAAGAUGACAAAAGGUUUGUUAGCAUGGUAAGUUGCGGCAAAAAAUAUAUAACCAGAAGACACUGCAAAAAUUGCAUGUGUGUUACAGAAGGAGAGUGCUACUGAUCUGGCCACGGUUCUAGCAAGAUGGCACACCUCUUCAUGUUUCAAAUUACAAUUAGAUCUCGCCACAUGGUACUAUGAUACAUGGAUGUUUAUCUUCUCCUUACAACAAUAUCUGCAAAGCGAACGGGAAAGUUAGAUGUACUUAAGAUAAAGUACGUACCCUUAUCGAUCUAAUAUGUAAGGAAAACUUAAAGAGUACAAUUUAAUAAUUAAUUAUCAGUACCACUUGUAUGCUGGUAUUAUAAUCAAGUAAAGCCGGGCUCUCCUAAUUUCAUGGACAGAGUAGCCUGAGCUCUCAGCUGGCCGUUUUGACACACACACCCACAGGUAAUAAAAAAGUUAAUGCAUUGUAGGGAUAUCGGUCACGGUGUUGUUGGGCUUCUUCUGGUUUGGACUCUGGACCGGGCCUGCUUGGGCUGGGCCUUUGUUGGCGUGCGUGUGCUGUCGUUACGUCAUCCAGAUCCGGCCACAGCUUUCGGAAGGUUCCUGGACCGUCCAUUUUUGCGACGAUGGCGACGACGGAGGGAAGGAGAAGAAAGAUGGUUGGGGCCCAGGGAUUCCGUCCGACCAGCUAGCGCAGCCACGUUCCUCACGUUGCAGCAGCAGCUCGGCUCCAAGACAAGCAACGGCAGCUGAUGGAGGCAUGCUACUGUGCAAGGCAAGCCACACACGCAGCCAGGCCAGCAUAUCUCCCCCGGCGGGCCUGCCGGCUACCGGCCAAACUAAACUGGUCAGAAAAAGCUUCUGAGAGCCUCGCAGCGAACUAUAGUUAAAACCUGCCAGCUGCUCAUCUGCCACUCGUGGCUCGGUGACUCGGUGAGUGUGCAGCAAAGAGCGGAGCUAGCUAGGCUGUCCGUGCGUGAAGAUGGCCGCCGCUUGGUCGAUGCAGGUCGGCGGCGGCUGCCGCUGCUCUUUCGGCGGCCGGAGAGCGGCGUCGGGGAAAGCGGUGCGGCGGCUGCCGGUGAUAAGGGCGUCGGCGGCGAAGGUGGAGGAGGAGGAGAAAGUGAGGCUGGGGGAGUCGAGCGUGGCGGUGAGCAAGCUGGGGAUCGGGGCUUGGUCCUGGGGCGACACAACUUACUGGAACGACUCCGAAUGGGAUGGUCAGUACGUCGUCCGUCAGAAAGUCUCUGAAAUCAACGCUCUUAAUUAAGUUUAUUUCAAAAAAACAAACCGUGUGAGAAACAUUAGACAAAGAAGAAGAAUUUUGUUGGAGUUUUUUUUCUUUUUUUUCCGUUGCAGACAGGAGGCUCAAGGAGGCGAAAGCCGCGUUCGACGCCAGCGUCGACAACGGGAUGACCUUCUUCGACACCGCCGAAGUCUACGGAACAGCGGUAAUUAAAUUACUUGCUUGAUCAAGCAGCAACCGUCAACGACAUGCAUGCUUCCUCGAUCUGUCUGUCGGCCAUGACAAACUCUGGAACCUCUUCCAACAUAUUGUACUGACUUCCUCCUCUGCAAUACAAUUCUUCAGCUCAUGGGGGCAGUCAACUCAGAGAGCCUACUGGGAGAGUAAGUGACAUACAUAUCCACCACACCAACAACAAGUUAGAGCACUGAUUAAAUUGUUCUUCAGAGAAUUCAGUCACCCAUGUUGUUGAUCAUGGCAACAUAUAUGCAGUUUCAUCAGGGAGAGGAAGGAGAAGGGCGAGGUGGACGUGGUGGUGGCCACCAAGUUCGCCGCGCUGCCAUGGCGGUUCGGCCGCGGCAGCGUCCUUUCCGCGCUCAAGAACUCCCUCGGCCGCCUCGGCCUCCCCUCCGUCGAGCUCUACCAGCUCCACUGGUACUCUAGUACUACUACACAUCUCUCCUAUCUGAAUCUCACAAUCUUCUUCAGUUAUUCUUCUUCACAACAACUUGCAUGCUAACCAAGCCACCUGAAUCUAAUCUUUCAGGCCAGGGCUAUGGGGCAACGAAGGUACUCAUAAUUCAGAAACCAAUCACAUAAUGACUCAAACUCUUUGGAUUACAUGCAACUUCAUCAUCAGUUCUCCAAGGGGAAGGGGUCGAUUAUUUAACUGGAUGCUUCCAUAUACGAACAAUUGUGUCAAUUCAGGGUACCUUGACGGGCUGGCGGACGCGUACGAGCAAGGACUGGUGAAGGCCGUGGGGGUCUCCAACUACAACGGUACUAAAACAGGACACAAAUCUGAAUAAUAUCAAGUUCCAUUGUUUUCACUUACAGCUGAAUUGCAAAAUUGACCAUAGAUUGCAAUGUGUGUGUUUUCCAGAGAAGCGUCUCCGGGACGCGCACGCGCGGCUGAAGAAGCGCAGGGUGCCGCUGGCGGCGAACCAGGUGAACUACAGCCUCAUCUACCGGACGCCAGAGCUCAACGGCGUCAAGCAAGCCUGCGACGAACUCGGCGUCACACUCAUCGCAUACUCCCCAAUCGCACAAGGCAAUCCAUCAAACACCGUCCAUGUCAACACAUUUCACCAAUACUCAAUUGUUUCUUUGUUUUCACUUCUUGCUAAUAUUUCACCGUUUGUCUUUCAGGUGUUCUGUCCGGGAAGUACACUCCGGAGAAGCCUCCGACGGGGCCUCGAGGGAACACAUACACCCCAGAAUUCCUCACCAAGGUUUAGAUAAUAUGCAUUUUUGUUAUGGGAAGUUAAGGACAACCACUGAAUAUGUGUUUCCAUCUCUAUUAUGUGCGCAUGCAGCUCCAACCGCUGAUGAACAGGAUCAAAGAGAUCGGAGCAAGCUACGGCAAGAACCCGACCCAGGUGCGUGCUAGCUUCAUGAUCUUCACAUCGACAUUAAGUAACAAUCAGUUCUGGAUUAAUUGACGUUUUGGUUUGCAGGUGUCUCUGAACUGGCUGGCGUGCCAGGGCAACGUGGUGCCGAUCCCGGGGGCGAAGAACGCCGUGCAGGCCAUGGAGUUCGCCGGGGCGCUCGGCUGGAGCCUCACCGCCGACGAGGUCGAGGAGCUCAGGACGCUCGCCCGCGAGAUCAAGGGAAUCAAGAUGCCCAUCGAGGAGUCAUGAUCGAAUUGAGUGCUCGAUCGAUGCUCCGGCCGCCGUCCGAUCACCAUAUUCAUGAUCGGCUCUUGCACCGCUGCUUAUUAGCAACCUGCUGCUGAUCGAUGUAAUCACCACCGCCAUGUAUGAUCCCAACCUGUGUCCUAGUAGAAUUAGAAGAAGUAGAAAAUAAAAUGGGUGAAUGAACAGGACAGAGUGUUUUCGGAUGGUUUUGUGGAUCAUAUACAUAUAUACAUUUACAUGGGUUUAGCCACUACACGCCCGCGCGUGUGUGCCCCGGUUAUUUAGCCAAGCACGGUGACCAAUGCAUGGGUUGAAACCAUAACAUUUUUAGUUUUGGACAGAUUUCAGGAUGGGAUUCAAUAAUCUGGUUUUGGCAACAAAAAAAAGUGUGGUGAUAGUAUGAGCUUGGUAUCCUGGUUGUCAUUUCCAAUGGAAUACCAACAGAGUUUAGUCACUUCAGGGCUUUCUGCCAUUUCAACGGGACUGAAAUACUCAAAGCACCAUCUUUGGUAUGCCUACCUUCUCCAAACUCAAAGACAAGGAUGGUUUAGAUUGCAUCAUACCUCUUUGGUCAGGAUAAUCGGCGGUUUCAACUGGUACGGUGCUACUACCUCCGUUCCAUAAUUCUUGUCAAAUAAUUAUAUGUAUCUAGACGUUUUUUAGGAAUAAAUACAUCCAUAUCCAUAUCCAUAUUUAAUCAAAUUUGAUGCAAGAAUUAUGAGAUGGAGGGACUACCCGGCAUCAAUAUAGUGCUUCUAAAUUAGUAAGCAAUCGUGACCCGGAGAUGAUAACGAGGACCCAUUGAUCAAUGUCUCCUCGUUCUAGGCAACUAAGGCCAGGAAGCAAAACAAAUAACAGAACAAAAAAAUCAGGCAUGAAAAUGUAUAUGACACAUCGCUCUAUUGUCGCUGAGAGCAAUGAAAAAUCCCAACUGAGAUCAUCAUUUUCCCCGGUGCGCUAAACAACUUUAACGUUUGAAUUGACAGGGAUAGGCCAUGCUUCCAGGGAUUGAAAAGCCAAAGUUCAUCUCGACUUGGUUAACGAGAUCAAGGUUGGAAAAUAGACUUUUUUUCUCGUUAAAAUAAUUUAUUUUCUUUAGGCCAAAAAAAAUGUGGUCUUUUUUUUUUCAUAAGUCGUGAGCAGUUGGUGCUGUAAAUAAGAAGGCCGUCGUCUCCGGUGCGGUCGCCGGCGCGUCCACGUGGCCCCAUCAUCUUCCCGUGGCCACAAAACAAAACGCGCGCUUCCGCUGCUCCCAAAAACGCCAUCGCGCCCGCCCGCGCCACCCACCACCCACCAAGAACGACCCCCAGCAGGAGCUCACCACUCCCUUGUUGCCGCCGCCUCCCUUCCCGUCCCGUCUUUCCCUCGAUGGCCCUGCAGGUCGCCGGCGGCGCGCCCCACCACCUCGGCGUUCCGCGGCGGCGGCAGCGUUGCGCGGCGCUCCGGCCGCCGCGCGUGGCGUCCGAGAGCGCGGCGAAGCCGGUGGAGGAGGACGGGAGCAACAAGGCGGUCCUUGGCGGGUCCGGCGUCGCGGUGACCAAGCUCGGCAUCGGGGCCUGGUCGUGGGGCGACACCACCUACUGGAACGACUUCCAGUGGGACGGUACGUACGCAAGCAAUCCAUCCUGAGCCUUGUUGCCAAUCCAAAUUCCAAUGCCCGCAGUUCAUCUUUUGGCCAUCGACUCUUUAGUGUAGCCUCUAGCCCUCUACUCGCUGCAAUCUGGUUGUUUGUUGCAUACUUUCGUUCCUGCCCCUGUUUUUCUGGCUGGGCUGGGAAACAGAAUCCAUGGUCCUGUCAUGCACAUGACGUGCUUGUUGCAUUGCCUCUAAAAAACCUAAGAAGGCUGUGUGCCAGAGCUCAGGUCCCAUGUAAGUAUGUAACCACUGAGAAGCUUAACAUCAGCUUAAAAAAUCUGCAGUUUCUGAAUCUUUGCACUGUUCUUGAGUACGGAGCCAAAUCACUGUAGUACUUAGAGUUCCUGCUAUUUAAUUACUAGAAAGUCGUGACGAACAUGGCUCAUUCGAUAUGAAAUGAACAAGCAUCUUCCUGAAUUAAUUUGGCAGACAGGAAACUCAAGGCAGCUAAAGGCGCAUUCGAUGCGAGCGUCGAUAGUGGAAUUACCUUCUUUGACACUGCAGAAGUGUAUGGUGCAGGGGUAGGGAUCCAGCCACUUCUUGCUCUACUAUUGCUCAUUCUCUAGAUCUUUUCAUGGCAACUUUGACAGCACCUCUUGAUUUCGAUGUUAUUUAGGUAUCAGGAGCGAUAAACUCUGAAAGUUUACUAGGGAGGUACGCAUGUCAUGCUUCCUUGUUCAUCAUUACGAUAUUAUUUAAUAAUUACUGUUCCACAACCAGGGGUCUUUCCACAAUGAUUCUGAUUCUAAUUGUUACAAGUUCCCCUUAAUUCCCACCAGAUUUAUUAAGGAAAGGCAACAAAAAGAAAAGGUCGAGGUGGCCAUCGCAACAAAGUUUGCAGCUCUUCCAUGGAGGUUUGGCCGGGGAAGUGUUCUUGCUGCGUUGAAGGGCUCACUUUCCCGCCUUGGCGUCUCCUCUGUUGAGUCGUACCAACUUCACUGGUUAGUUCAACUUUCUAGCUUCGAUGCUAUUUGCCAUAUACUCUCUUUAGGUUGCUGAAACUAUUCCUUUCAUAUCCUUUUCAGGCCUGGGAUAUGGGGUAAUGAAGGUAUCAGCUAAAACUCUACCUACAUAAAUGUUAAAACAUCUUUGUUAAACCCACUACAGUGCAGUAACCUCAUUGUUCUUGGUCUGCUUACAUGAUCCAGGUUACCUUGACGGCCUUGCUGAUGCUUAUGAGCAAGGUCUUGUAAAAUCUGUUGGAGUCUCAAACUACAGCGGUUUGUAAAAUCUGACUUCAUUGCUCAUCCGACGAAAAGAUGUUAUGCUACUUGCUUUUAUUUCGAACAAAACUAAGCUCAAUCACAUCCAUUACCAGAGAAACGUCUGCGGGAUGCUUACGACCGCCUCAAGCAAAGGGGAGUUCCACUCGCUUCAAACCAAGUAAACUACAGUCUGAUAUACAGGAACCCUGAGGAAAAUGGGGUGAAGGCAGCUUGUGAUGAACUUGGCAUCACUUUGAUUGCAUAUUCCCCAAUUGCCCAAGGUACAAUCUAUUACCAUGUACAACUUUUCAAUCUGAAUUACUCCCAUGUACAACUUUUCAAUCUGUUUCCUCUAUUUCAGGAGCUUUGACAGGAAAAUACACGCCAGAAAAUCCCCCGACCGGGCCUCGUGGACGGAUAUACACUCCUGAAUUCCUGACCAAGGUUGUGAAAUUAGGAACUAUUAAUCAUAAGCUUUGCUGCAAUUAAACCUUUGAACUCUCUCCCUUCCAUCUCUGCUGCUGCUUACCAACCCCUUGCUGACUGAAGAGAGAUCUUCUCAUGCCACACAAUUGCAGCUCCAACCACUCAUCAACAAGAUCAAGGAGAUCGGAGGAAGCUACGACAAGACCCCAACUCAGGUGCUGUGCUCUUUGCAUGCAUGUUCCAUAAUAUAUACAAUGUCUCCUUGAUUGCCAAGUCAUAUAUAUAUAUAUACCUCACCAACCCAUGAAGAAAUUAAAUGAUUCUGACGACAAAACAGCAGAUUUCAGGCAGAUUUAAUUUCAUGACAUGCAUGAUGAUUAUUAAUUAAGCUGGCAAAUAAAGUUUGCAAAUGAUCGCUGAUGUUGGUUGGUUGUUGUUUUCAGGUGGUUCUGAACUGGCUGAUGUGCCAGGGGAACGUGGUGCCGAUCCCGGGGGCGAAGAACGCGGAGCAGGCGAGGGAGUUCGCCGGAGCGCUGGGGUGGAGCCUGACCGGCGACGAGGUGGAGGAGAUGAGAUCCAUGGCGCGGGAGGUCAAGCCGGUCAUGGGGUUCCCCGUCGAGAGGCUGUAAAACAACAAUCUGCAGCCAGUUUGUGGCUCAUCAAGAUAUAUCUAUAGUACAGCAUUGAUCUAGGCACAUACAGUACAUAUAUAUAUAUAGGAGAUUAGUUACGUGAAAAAUUCGAGUUAAAAUUGUAAAAAAGGAGAAUAUAUAUAUAUAUAUAUAUAUAUAUAUAUAUAAUAAUGUGGAUCAAAGUUCAAAAACUGGGCCGAUCUUGAUUCUCAUGAUCUCAUCACAAAACAUGAUUACAAUUGUUUUCCCUCCUUCUGGUCUGUUUUUCAGAUAGGAGUAGCUGCUGAAAUCAUGAUAUCUUUUUGUCACGUUUUUACUUGACUUGAAAAAAAAAACUAAGUCGGCAGAGAAAGGAGACUCGUGAUAUAUAUCCCUACAUGCAUGUGCCUGUGCAGCAUGGGAACUUGGAUGUUGGACUUUUGCUCCCAGCUCGGUGCAAACGGAGAAGAAGAAGAAAUCAAAAGAGGGGAAAGAUUAUAAUCUCUAUCUUGGUACGUACGUAUAAACCUAUUCUUUUUCUUUUUUGCUACUUCCCUUCUUUCAUUUAUAAGACGUUUUGGCAACUCAAUUUAGUUCGCCAAGAAGUCUUAUACCAAAAAAGUUUCAAGUUUGCUAAAUUUGGAUGCAUCAUGACUUAGUGUAUUGAUGCAUUCAAAGUUGGUCAAAGUUGAAACAUUUUUUGUUGGACUGAGGGAGUAAAUAAAAACGGAGGAAAUAGAAUGCAUUUCAGCAGUGCAUCGAUAUUCAAUAGAAGGGGAAGGCCAAAGCCGAGUACAAUGCCAGAGAGCUGGUCAUGGUGUAACAAAGAAGGUCUUUGUGGCCGCUAGCAACACCCUCACAGAAUGAGCUCGACUAGUCUCAUCCCGGAUCACUUGCCAUAGCCUGCGGAAGGCAAUCAUUAAAUACCAAAUCAUUAAUGCGAUCAUUAAACACCACAUCAUUCUUGUGUCGCCACAAACACCAAAACACUAAGGAGAUGGCAGUUUGAAGAUCUUAUUGCUCACGCAGGGGCCAUUUUGGAUGACCACCACUCCACGAGCUGGAAAUCCUGAGUCAGCCUCCAAUCAAGUCGUUGCCUCAUUUUGAUUUGCAAGUCAUGUUUGUGUGACUAAAGUGUUCCACCGUUCAAGUUUUUAGACCGUCAAUGCACGGAUGAGUUUGGUUCUUUGUCUAAGGCUUAAUUGAGUAGCUGCACAUUUUUAGAAAACUCAUGUAAUUUUAAUUGUCAAUUGUACAUUCUUAUAUCUAAAAUUAUAUAAAAAGUCAUAAAAAUUCCGAGAAAGAAUUUAUACUAAUUUACAUAUAAAUGUAUGAGGCUCACCCGUAGAAUUCGGAGUGACAAAUAUAUUCAUUCAUGGAGACGUGAAAAAAAAAACAAAUAUGUGCGUCUAUAAUAAUAGAGCGUUCGCUCCAAGAGAAAGACGACGUUCACUCCUCAUAGAUUUCGUUAUUCGAUGAAUUUUGACGAUGGGCCACUGGAUCGACCGAGAACAUCCAACAGAAAAGAGCUUCCCCAUAUUUGCUUCUUUGAAAUCCUUAAAUAUAAGGAUUCCCAAGACACCCUCCUCAAAUCAUCUUCAUCUUCAACAGAUUUCUCAUAUUUCAUUGGAUUCCCAAGAUACCCUUCUCAAAUCAUCUUCAUCUUCAACAGAUUUCUCAUAUUUCAUUCCCUGUAUCUCAUCAAGAUUCGGAAAAGACAAAUCAAGGGCUGAUUUUUGUCUCUCCCUCCCACCAUUUUCUUUCUUUGAAAUCCCGAGCUCAAUUUGAGAAACGGCUUGAAAUGGAAAAUGAGACGGGCAUCUGCUGGAGAUCUUUUUUAAGUCAAAAUUCUCAAAUUUAACUGCAGGGAACGGGAUUAGAACUAUCAUGGAGGAUGCUUUAAUCUCAGAUUAGGAGCAAAUCUUUUCUUCCCGUCUGCGCCUCCUUCUAUUCCCUGUUCCCCGAGAAAGGAAAUCCAACCCAACUGACACCAGCAAGCCCACAGCUUCCCGCAGCCCUCCUCCUCGUCUCUGAGAAACCGAAAGCACCAAGCUUUUGACGGACGCAUAGGCACACCUCGCUCUCCGCCGGUUUCUGUUUGCUCAACUGACUGGACAGACACAGCCCGGUGUCAAUCGAUCGAGCAGCUCGGGUGCAAAGGAUCGAGUGCCCAGUGCUGCGAGGAUCGAUCGUUGAUUCAAUUCAUGGACAUGGACGGUGGCACGAGACCGGCGCCGAGCCGGAACCGCAAGAUACGCCUCCCGUACGCAGUUUAACUUCGAGCUUCUCUGAUCGAUUUGAUGAUUUGAUUUUGUGUUCUUGGGGUGAUUGUUGCUGGUUGUUGCGUGGCGCAGGAUGGAGGGCGGCGGCGAGCUGAUGGAGCUGCUGUGGCAGGACGGAGCCGUCGUGGCGCAGGCGCAGCGGAGGUGCUCCCAGAGCGGCGCCGGCGCGAGCGGGGUCACGGGGGAGGGGGACGCGGCCGCGUGGCUGGCCCCUGACGGCGGCGGCGGCAGGGACCUGUACUCGCAGCUCUGGCGCAGCAUCGCCGACGCCGACGGCGCGGGCGCCUUCGUGGCGGGGAGCUCGAGCCGCACCGGCGAGGCGGCGGCCGGGUCGAGCUUCUGCGGGAGCAACGCGGUGGCGCCGCCGCCGCCGCCGCUGCUGCCGUCGCCGGAGGCGGAGGCGGAGGAGGAGGAGGAACCCGGCGCGUCCUCCGCGGCCGGCGGCCACGCGCUGCUGCUCAAGAGGGGGAGGGACGAGCUGGACGAUAGCCGCUGCGAGGUCGUCUUCUUUUUUCCCCCAUUCUUGUUGGUGUGCAAUGGCAACGGCCUGUGUUAAGUUUGUUUAAUUUCGGCUCAGUUAGUGACAGAGUGGAAAGGAUUUGCAGGACGCCGACGACUGCGAGGCCGUCGACGAGACACGGACGUCGAGGCGGCCGGCGGGGAAGCGCAGGGCUCGUGCCGCCGAGGUCCAUAACCAGUCGGAGCGGGUAAGCUAUGACGAACCAACCAUUCCCAUCUCCAUCGCCGGUGGCGCUACUUGGAGAGUGCUCUUGAUUUGAUGUGGUGCCUCCUUUUUUUUUUGCAGAGAAGAAGGGAUCGGAUCAACGAGAAGAUGAAAGCGUUGCAAGAGCUCGUGCCUCAUUGCAACAAGGUAGAAUCACAGUUUUGAGUUCUUGUUACGUUUGAGUUUGUGUUGUAUUUGUGGUGAACUUAUCAUCCUAGUUAUAAAAAAAAUUCAGAGCGACAAGGCGUCGAUACUAGAUGAAGCAAUCGAGUACUUGAAGUCCCUGCAAUUGCAAGUUCAGGUUCAAUAUCACACUUCCGAUUUCCAAUUUCUCCUCAUUUAUGUAAAAUUAUAGUCCGUGGUCAAUCAAUCUUUAGUACUCCGUACUCCGCUGAGGGUGUUGCUUCGGGUUCAGAUCAUGUGGAUGACUACCGGGAUGGCGCCGAUGAUGUUCCCCGGUGCUCACCAGCUCAUGCCGCAGAUGGCAAUGGGCUUGAACCCUGCGUGCAUGCCCACAGCACAGAGCCUGAGCCAGCUGCAAAGAGUAGCACCAUUCAUGAACAAUCCUCUCCCAAAUCAAAUGCCUCAGGUCCAGCCUCCAGCUACCGAUUUUCCCAACGUGUCAAACCAGAUGCCGAACGAUGGUGUCUGCGAGCCGACAAAUCCUUUCUUGCAUCCUAAUGACACACUAGCAGCAGCAACUCAGGUUAUUGUCAGGCAUCUCAUAUCUACAGAUCUUUCAGAUUUUCACCUCUGUUUACGCCGUUAAUUCUUUCCGGGUGCAGGGUAUGUUCUCCUAUGGAUCUCAAAGGGCACAACAAAAUGAGAUUCACGAGUUAAUGGCUAGCACUGCUAUUCCAGCUUCAGGAGUCUGCCCGCCUUCUUCCGCUGACAGAACUGGAACAUGAGGCCAAGAGUUUCCAACAAGAUGAUUUAUUACUGGUCAGUACAAAAUUUUGUUACUUGUAAACUGCAAUUGGAGUAGGCGUGUAGAUGGAUCUCCCUAAUAAUUCAAACACAGAAUUUUGUUGAAUUUAUCUAUCAGGUGGACAACACUGCAUCAUCAUUCUCUGUGCUUAAGCUUAACUAAUCAGUGCAUGGAAACUAAAUUACUGUCAUCAGAUUUACCGGUUCUUGAUAUUUCCUUCCCCUUUGGCACCUUUCAGUCCUGUCCCAUCACUGGAUGAACUCUGCCGCAUCGGUUGUGCAUCUGUUUCACUCUUUCGCUGUUACAUUCAAUUGACUGUUUUGUCAGAUUACCGAAAACAAGUGAGACUAGUUCACAAACAAUUGGGUUGAGCAUCGCUCUCUUGAUGCUGACAUGGCAAGGAGUACAACAAGGACUUGCAUGAGGGCAGCAACUAGUGAAAAUACUACUAGUAGUAGCCAGAUGAGAUCCUUGAUGCUAUCUCAACAACCAAUGUUUGCUUAACUUUAUCUCCAAAAGUAAUCAUUAUAUUAAGCAGGAUCAUUAGGCUGAUGUAGAGACUAAUGAUAUACUACUAGGCUGAGGUAAAGUUUGACCAUAGGGCCUUAUAUACUAAUGAAGUUCUGUACCUAUUUAGAUUGUCCAUCGAAACCAUAAUUUAAGAUGUCAGGGAAACACAAACAUGUCUCAUGGCUAGAAUAUCACCCUAGCAUAUAUAAUAUAUAGUUCACAGGUGUUCCCUAGAAGCAAUAUAAAACUGAUGACAACACUACGCUUCGCUCUUUCUUUUUCUUAUCAUCUUUGACGUGUUGCUGAAUUUUUGUGCAGUGACCAGCCAGGGGGGUUGAACAUAGGAGGCCAUAACAAACUGGUCCUAGCAGAAGAAGAGACAUCAGUGUGCUGUAAGAGCAGGGCAAGGACAGAUCAUGCAACUUUGAGCCUUUGUGGCACCACUGAGUAGCCGACACGUAUACGCCCAGGAUCGUGCCAAGCGCAGAUACUAUUCUAAUCUGGAGAAUAGUCUUCAGCAUCACCUUUCUGUUUCUGGAAUGAUUUGGUCCAUGGGAGAUGAACUUGGCUUGGCAGGGACUACAGAAGAUAUGCUGCAGAUCUGGAGCAUGGCAUGGUUGGAGCCAGCAUCUACACAAGGAGAAAAAGCAGGGGCAGUUCCACUCUUCUUUCUGCUGAUGUUACACCACUUGUGUAUUCUUACAUGACCAUCCCGUCGACCCAGGACCAACAAUUCAGCUGUCGAGUUAUCGAUUCGACGGCUACCACAAGGAUUGGCAGAAACUUGUGCUGUUGACACAAUGGCAUGUCAGGAUUCCACAUUCACUGAAGAGGAGAAAACUUUUCAAGGGUGAACAAAAUCAUGUUCUGUUCAGACAAGGGGCACAUUGAGAUCAUUCUCGUUCAUCGGUAACGCAGAAUCAUCGCCAAGGAUUGCGUGCCUGAACAAACUGCUGCCGCAUCAGGAUCCCUGAGUACUCCGUUGCACCGUCUCCGCUGUCCUUUUCACUUGUUCUUAUGGAAACUAUACCACAUGCAGUGUAAUGAUGCUUAGUUUCAAGUUAAUCGGAGACGGUGACAGCUAUCAUUUGUUCGGUUUCGCCCCAGUUGCCACUAUACCACAUCGGAGACGGAGUAAUUAGAGUCUCUGAAUACAUCUACAUCUUUGUGUUUAUUGUGAGUCAGCCCAGGUCGCCGUCGAUGGAGAUUGGGAUUUUGCUUCACAUUUAUAGGUCGAGAUUUGGUUCUCAUCCAUGCUCAUGUUUUCUCUUUUCCUUUAUGCGAAUCAUAACGAUUGAUGCUGAUGUUUAGCAAUGUGGGGGGACACAUGCACACGCCCUGUGCUUAUUUUGCAAAAAUAAAUACGUCCAGUUCAAAAAACAGAGCAAGUGUGUUUGAGAAACAGAGUGAAAAUUUCAAAAAGGAAAAACAGACUUGGCUUCGCCCGGGUUUGAACCGGAGACCUUCAGUGUGUUAGACUGACGUGAUAACCAACUACACCACGAAACCUUUUCAUGCUGGUUAGACUGACGUGACCGAGGUCAUAACCAACAUGCAAUAUUUACAUGUAUAACGUUUCAUAAUGUAAGGUAAUUUCUGCAAAAAAAAUUGAACUGCUUAUAUAGUUUUGAUUAACUCAAUAUUUUACUCAUAAAUGAAAAUUAAACUUCAUACGUGAAAAUACAUCCAAGCAGCCGUUCGAUGGUUUUGCUUUGGCAAGCCCAACAGUCUUGAUAAAUAUGAUGUGAUAUAAUUUAGUGGUGAAGGGUGAACGCGGCGUUAAUACCGGCACCGGGUAUAUACCGGUGCGUUUAUGGCCGUCAGAUCGCACUUCGAUAUUCGCGCCAACCGUCGGAUCUCACGUGAUUUGCUCUGCGCAUGAAUCUCAACGCGCGUCUGACGGCUAAAAACGUGCAGUUAUAUACCGGAGCCGGUAUUAAAGAGUUUACCGGCGAAGGGUGUAUUUUGAGUGGCCAAAACAACAACUUUUGACGGGUUGCAUAUGUGUAUUUCCUUAUAAUUGACUGCCUCACUGAUUUUGUUGUUGGUAUUAGCAACAAGGUUGUUAUCUUCUGGAAGAAAUUACGCCGCACUUUAUUUUCUCUCUUCCCAUUCCUUCCUUGGCAUUUUAAAAAGUAGUUGAUGUGUAUUUUUGGAGAUGUCUCAUUUUAUUCUCUCUUCGUAUGGGUUAAUUAUCAUCCAGACUUUGUUUAUAUUGCAAACAAAAAGGAAAAGUCAUGGACUAGAUCAUUAGACAAUACAUUUAUCUUACAGAAGAGAUCUUGCACAACACGGGGUGGUGGCGCAGUUGGCUAGCGCGUAGGUCUCAUAGCUAAGUACGUGAGUGAUCCUGAGGUCGAGAGUUCGAGCCUCUCUCACCCCAAAUCUUUUUUCUCUCUCCCACAACAUAUCAGUGGAAAAACACAUCUGCCCGAGUCAAACCACGCAGCAGCAAUACAAUAUUAAACACUUUCAGUGUUAAACAUGUAUUCGGCCAUCAGCAUUCUGUUCAAAGGGUUUUUUCACAAAUAAAAGUUACGAAAACCACGGAUCAAAAAGAUUGUGGAUCUUAGGGCCCCUUUGAUUUAAAGAACUUUCAUAAGAAUUUUGGAGAUUUUAAAUCCUGAAGAUUUCUUCCUGUAUGGGUUGUUUGAUUUGUUGGAUUGAAUCCCGGAGGAAAUUUCCCUAAGAAUUCCAUUCCAGUACACAUACAUCCAUAGGAAAGUUUCCAUCCAGUCCAUCCAAGCUCUUUUUUUAAGAUUCCUUUGUUUUUUUCUGUGCUCAAUCAAACAAACUUUGGUCCAAACAUUAUCCUGUAGGAUUCAAAUGGACAUGACAUUCCAAUCUUGUCAUUUUCCUAUUCCUAUGUUUUCUCCAUUCCGGAUCAAAGAGUUUCAUCCCACAGAUACUGUAUUGUAGUGAAAAGCUCAGGUAAACAAGCAUUUCUAUAUUACAUAUUUAUCUGAUGAUGUUUCUACCUGAAUCACUAGCUAGAUUACAGGCUGCCAUGUUCUUGAACUGGAACAGUUCUCCCUCUGUAAACCGGAAAACACUAGAAAGUUCCCCAUGUACAAAAAAUUGAAGAUAUCUGAAUCUGAAGUGUACCAUACGAGGGAUCCUGACUCAUAAAGAUCGAUCUUUAACUUCCCCCGGCCAGGGUUUGGACACCAUAUCAGGCCCUGCACCAGCGGGAUUCGAUCCAGUGUGUGUGGCUUGCCCACACACAAGAUCGAUCAACCAAGCUAAGCUUGAUUCCAAUGUAUCGAUCUUCCAUUUACUUGGGUUCCGCUACGGAGACCAGCGCUGAUUUGUGAAGGCCUUGAUACAAUCCAUGGUGGAUCUGACGCUGCUCGAGACACCCUUCCCCAGCUUGGGCAGAUCAACUCCUCCCGAAACCGGUGGGUUCUCCUGAUGAAACCUAAGAAGCUUCUGCCGAGAUUCUUUCCUCAUAGCUGCGACAUGGCUCACAUAACUGAUGGCAUCCCAUAGCAUACCUUUGAUGAUGGUCAAGGUGUAAAACCUCGCAGAUUCAAAAGGGGUAUUGCUGGCAAAACCUACAAAAAAUUUGGGGCAAAUCUGUUAUUCAAAGUAUCAUAAAACUGUAGCUUCAAGUGUUAACUGGGAGUAGCAAUUAGCUGCCAUAGGGACAUAGGGUUAUGGCAGAUAGGAAAAGAUGAGUUCAAUUGCUGUGUGUUUGCUGAAACAUAGCUCAGCUAAUUGAUGGGAAGAGAUCACAUGGACUGUCAAGUACUACCUCCAUUCCAUAAUUCUUGUCUCAAAUUUGCCUAAAAAUGGAUGUAUCUAUUACUAAAAUAUGUCUAGAUACAUGUAAUAUUUCGACAAGAAUUAUGGAACGGAGGGAGUAGUACUCAAGUUGAAGAGAUACAAUCAUACACUAGAGUUGGAAUCACCUAUGCAGGCAACUGAGAAUACAGAUAUAAUCAUCAUUAGAAUAUUAGAUUAGAGAUCCUACACUAGAGUUGGAAUCACCUAUGCAGGCAACUGAGAAUACAGUUUUAAACACUAAGGACUAGAUGGUUUUGCUCUUCAUCAGUUCAUUCCUUCAACUGAAGACACAAUGCCACAACAUUUGCAACUCUCCCAUAAAUAAGAAUCCAUAAUGUUCAGAAGCAAACACAGCAAGAUAACCUUGCUUGGUAAACACAACAUUCUUCUGUCCCAACCAGACAAGGCUAGCAGCAGUCAAUGGCAGUUAUUGCGCAAGAGAAGGGGAGAGCGUACGGUACCUCCAUGGUAGUGGUUCUUGAUGAUGCCGUGCUGCGGCAGGCCGACGCCGACGCCGGCGAGCGUGAAACCAACACUGAACCCCAAGCCGCAGCCGGCGCCGACGUAGCCGAUGACCUCGGGCCCGAACCCUGGCCCCCAGCCGACCCCGCAGCCGAGGCCCAGCCCGACGCCCCAGAAGGCGCCCGCCGUCGGGUGCACAGGGUUCCACCGCUCGUACCGCCCCAGCAUCCCCUUGAUGAUCAUCCUCGGCUGCACCGCCGGCGGCGGUGGUGCCGCGGUCUCCUCCGGCAACGGCGACGCGACCUCAAUCAAUCAAACAGAACAAAACGAAGGGAUAAGAAACAAAUCAGGAAAUCAACAGGAAGAACUUUUUGCUGUUGCUUCAAGACAGACAGAGAGAGUGGCGAGAAAUGGUACCGGUGUUCGCUGGGCAUUUGCCGCCGCGGGGGCGGCGGGGUUUGGAUCUGUUGGCGGCGGCGGCGGCGGCGAUUGGUGGGUUUGGGGCGGCGAGGGCAUGGGCAGCGUCGGCUGCUGUGGAGAAGAAGAAGAAGCAGCCUCUGGUUAAAAGUCUGGAAUUGGAAAGCCUUGAACAUGACUUCACAUUUUCAACGAUCUUAUCCUCAAAUCUGAUCCGGAUAUCCCAAAGAUCCAACCCAUCGCCAUCGUGGGCCACUUCGGGCCUGUUUGAGCCCAGCGUUUUUUUUAUUGGGCUUGAUUCGGCCUGGAUGGUAAUUACUCCCUCCAUUUCAUGAAGGUUGGCGUAUUUUGUUUCGUUAAGAUAAGGUUUUAAUCAAUGAAAACUCAAUUUAUAUGUGUUUUUUCAUACGUGAAAUUUAUAUCAAUAGAUUCGUCUUAAAAGUUCUUGGUAAUGAUCAUGAUUUCGUAUCAUAUAACUUACAUAUUAAUAUAUUAAUUCUUGGUUAAAGGUUUGUCCUAACGAAACAAAAUACGUCAACCUUUGUGAAAUGAAGAGGGUACUUUGUUGGGCUACAGUGACGCAUUCAGGCACAUGCAUCAGAAACAUUCUUCCUUGCUUUCAAAAAGAAAAAAAAUCUUCCUAAAAAUUACUCGUACAAAUAUUGACAGAGCAAACAUGUUUCUGAAACAACCCUAGAUACAAAAGAACCGACAGAGUGGUAUUGCUCAUUCAUGGAAAGGAAACACCAGUGGUUGAAAAGCACCGGUUAGCCCUCUGAUCAGUCUGUCAAUCCUUGAAGCUGCCUGGCUUGCCAAAAUCUGAGGCGCCGAAACCACCGGAGCUUCUGCCGAACCGGGAAGAGCCUGAGUCAUCACCACUCCUCGGGCGACGGAAAUCGGGGUUAUCAUUUCUGCCAAAAUUGCCUUCUCCAAAGUCGCUGAAUCCACCGGAGCGAUUGAAGCUAGACCUGCCAAAAGAGCCAUCCAACGGUCGAGAAGGUCGUCGAGAAUCUCCAAACCCGCCACGGGAUCUUGAGCCCGUGUCACGAGACCACCCAGCACCAUCAGGGGCACCACCAAAGCCGUCAGGAUCACCGAAGCCACGGGAAGAGCGUCCGCCGAAGCCACUGUAGCUUUCACGUCCGAAAAAGGAGCCGUCAGUUCUGGUUCCAGCUGAUCUAGAGCGGGGAUCUCUUGAAACGUUAAACAUGUCUGCAGCCUCAGCUGUACCUGAAAUCUUUGGAAGCUACACAUGGCAAAUACGAAUCAGCCAAUGAGUUUUUUAUAUUUCACAUCAGCCACAAGAUGACUUUAUCAGGGUUCAAUUAACCAUAGUUUACCUCUGUGAACCUGCAUCCAAUGUCUUGCUCAAUGACCCUUACAGCUCUACUUUGCUCAUAUGUGUACAUUAGAAUGGCAAUGCCUUUCUUCCCUGCUCGUGCAGUUCGCCCAGACCUGUGAACAAAUAACUCCGAGGAGUUUGGAAUUUCAUAAUGUACCACCUGAAAAGACAGGAGACCAUAACAUUUCCCAGUUAAGCUAAAUAUAUGCACAUCAAACAGCUAGAGCAAUCAUCUAGGAUGUGGAAGAGGUUCUUGAACUGCAUAGAACAUAUCUAGAGCUACUUACUAGAUCAACAUUGGGUAUGUCUAACCCACGGGCUGCGACAUCAGUUGCUACGAGAAUGUUAAAGCGACCCUCUCGAAAUCCUGACAGUGUCCUUUCUCUCUGAUUUUGUGUAAUAUCUCCAUGGAGCGCCUGACAUGCAUAACUCCUGCCCAUGGAGUAUGCCAAUCUAUCUGCUUCUCGUUUAGUUUGUGUAAAAACAAUGCAUUUCCCACCAUUAGCAUGCUCCUAAGGAAGUCAAAGGAAAAGUGUUAUGUUAAGUUGUUGACAAUGCAAACUAUAAAAGCAUACAGUCAGGAGAACGCUCACUUUAAUCAAUGUACCAAGAAUUGAUGACUUCCCAUAGUUCUCAGAUGCAAUUGAAUAAAGAGAGAUUCCUUCAGGUAAUUUCUGGUCCGACUCGCCAACCUGAGAAUAAAAAAGUGUGAAUACCCAGAUAAUCCCCCCCGCCCCCCCCUAAGAAUAUAACUCUGAUGCUCAACUGAAAAAGAAAAUACGACAAAUUCCAAGUUUUAAUUAUAUCGCUUCUCGAGAUGGUUGUUUACUUCUUUAUCAUGGUAGCACUUCAACGCCCUUAUGAAUUUUGCUUUAUGAUGUACUAUUGUCCACUCUACUCCCUCCAUUUCUGAUUAAUUGAUUAUAGGGCGUCUAAUGUUUGAGACCAAGGAAGGAAGAGGCUAGUGUGGCGCUCAUUAAAUUCUCCAUUAACUCUCACAAAAAAGUUCAUCUAGGCAGGAUUGCAUGCUUGCAUGCCCAAUCGCUAGGGUGGAGUAAUUGCAUCCAUGCUUUGCUUAGUGGCUAGAGUUUGUAUGGCCUGGGUGGACAAAUAGCACAAGGAGAUGAAAAGAGAUCAUGGAGUGAUUAAUUAGUCUAAGGAGAUAAUGCCUUGUACUGCAGAACAAAUCAAAAAGGUUGUACACCUUAUAACGUGGAACAGAGGGAGUACCUAGUAAGAUAAUACACAGGGAAAGGUUAAAAGGCCAUAGAGCUAAUAAUAAGAAGAAAAACACUCACAAGGUCAAUUAUGACUGGAUCUUUCAAGUAUUGGUUUGAAAGUUUUCUGAUCCAGCUAGGCAUUGUUGCAGAGAACAGCAUGCUUUGACGGUUUUGUGGCAGCUUCUCCAUGAUAACCUCAACGUCUUCAUCAAAACCCACAGCUAGCAUCUGAUCAGCUUCAUCCAGAACAACAAAUUGGAUCUCCGAAAGAUUUAAAUUUCCCCUUCUCAAAAGAUCAAUAAUUCGCCCAGGAGUCCCGACCACAACGUCAACGCCAUAAUUAAGAGUUCUCAUUUGCUGAUUGAUGGGAACACCUCCAUAGACACAGAGGGUGUCUAAGGGAGCAGAUUCUUUGAAUUCCUUCUCAACCUGUCGAGCGAGUUCUCUAGUAGGUGCCAAAAUGAUAGCUAAAGGGUUCCUACCAGUUCUGCAAGUACCAUACUAUGUAAUUAUUACAAUAAAUUGUAUCUUUCCGGUAGCUAGAUAAGAAUAAUUCAAAACUAGACAGAGAAACCAACCCAUUCUUCUCAUUGUGUCGAAGAAUCCUGUCCAUAAUAGGAAUGCCAAAAGCCAAGGUUUUUCCAGUUCCAGUUCGAGCACGACCAAUCAUAUCCUUCCCUUGCAUUGCUGGUUCAAGAACAGCCCUCUGCCAAGGCACAAGGUAAAAGCAUCACUUAACAAAAAUGUAACUAGGCUAGAAAAGUAACAUAAAGAAAAUUCAACAUAAUUGCAGAAAUAACAUUUUCCCAAUUUUGAUGAUGCAAACAAAUAGGUAUAUAUGUAUAUCUACUCACUGAAAUCCUAAUCUGGCAAAGUUAGCUAGUAAUGUCAAUAGUGUUCAUUAGCUCGCAGGGGGGCGUGCAUUGCUCUUUCUGUCAAACAACAAGGAAAACACUACGAAUGUUCUCUACUGGUGUCAGGAUAAUUAUCAUGAUUCAUGAGUCCAUACAAGUUCUCUAUUGGUGUCAUGAUAGUUAAACAAGUCAAAUUAGUGUGCUUUCUCUUAGUGAUAUCAAAAUUUUGGAGUAUUUUUCUAAUCCUUAUCCAAAACACUACAAAUGUAUGUUUUCUGGGGGUAAAAAUGCAGGCACUUGCGUAUGAUUAAAGUGUCACCAGAUAACCAUAUAGAACCAAAUGUUCCUGGCUAAAUUCUAACAGCACUUCGCGGUAAACAAUUUUCCAUUUCGUUUUUCUAAUAUUGCAAAGCCACAGGUACAAAUCAAAGAACUUAGGUCAGUCAGAAUCAAUAAGCCUUGUUCACGUCUCUUGCUAAAUUGGCGCAGCAGGCUCUCUCCAAUGAAUUUUAACUCAGAAGUUCCCAAGCAACUUUCCGGCCAUUUUGAUCCGGUUGAUGCCUACAGUUGAAUAGGGCUCCAAGUACCAGUGUAACGCAAUUGUAAAGCCAGGUUGAUUGUUUGCAUGACAGUAUCAUAUCAUAUGUAUCUCAAAUAGAGGUAAAGUCUGAGUUAUAUUUUGGCUUUUAUGGCUCGCACGAUCCUACAGCUGCAGAACCGGAAUCUCUCAUCUGGCCACAAGCAUUUCCUCGAAACAAAUUCUACUCGUUCCAACCUACAUAACCAUGCGCAGUCAAGGAAACCCACCUUUACGGUCCUGAGGCUUACAAACUGCAGUAGGCAAAAACUGGCGGUACCUGGAUGGGGAAGAGCCUGGUGAUGCCCCGCGCGGCGAGCCUCUCCACGAUCCGCGGCGAGAUCCCCAGCUUCGCGACCUCCAGGCCGUCCUCCCCGGCGCCGGCCUCCGUGACCGUGCCGGGACACGACGCAGGGGUGGUGGCCCUGAACCCCAGGGGUCUCGGCGAGGCGUGGAACGCCCGCCGCAUCGGCGGCGGCGGAACCGCAGCCCGGCAUGGGGAGUCGGGAGAGCUGGCAGGCGGGGGAGAGAGGAGGGCCACGCCGAGGAACGUUCUCCGCGGCUGCGCGGCAGACCGGGAGGCGGUGAGCGCGCGGCGGAGCAGCGAGUUCAUGGCGGCGGUUGAGAUGAGAGGGCGGAGCUUCUGGGUUGGAGUCGACCUGGGCUUGGGGGGUCAAAUGUGAGAGCAUUUUCUUUUUCUCGAGUUGGGCCGUGAAGUGGAUUGGUCUAGUCUGGGCUGGGCUGAAUACUGAGCCCACACGAAUUUCGCUCAAAAUUCAACAUUAAAAAAAGUUGUAAAUUCAACAUUUAGAUUCCACCCUGAGCCCAGUUUGAAUUCCACCGCAAGCACACGACUAAACAAUCUAAGAAAGCUCCCUCAAAAAAAAAAUCCCUCAAAAAAAAUAAUCUAAGAAAGCACCCCUAUGACUCUUCACCUACAUACCGAAUGAGUACAUUUUUGUCAUCAAACGGCAAUAAUCCUUCCUCAUGUCCUCCGGAAGAGCCGAAUAAAGAGCUCUGAACUUUAGCCGGUCCUCGUCGCAGGCAAGAACAGUAUACACUCUCCUCGUGUCAUCACAACAAGUCAUCAGGUGUUUUCGGAAGCGUAGUCGAUAAUGGUCCUUUUUUCUUCGAUAAGGUUGGCUUCAAAGAUGGUUUCGCCGGCGGCAUAAGGCCUCCAUGGGAGGUGUUGAAGUACUGGGAGACCUUGCUAGGUACGAAGGUGGGUUCCUCGUCCUUGUUCCCGUAGCUCCGUCCGCCUCGUGUCGACCUCGGCCAGCCACACCGCAUAGCACAGGGCGUCCGGGUCUUCGUCGUCUGGGCUCAACGGGGGGUCCGACGCCUUGAUGCGUGGCAAGACCACGUCAUAGCCGGCGAGGUACCAGAUGUCGCCGCAGUCGACGAGGCCGUCCUUGUGCCACACGUCAUGUCGUCCGUCCUCAGCGUCCACGUGGCGAUGGUGAAGGCCUGCUGGGAGAGCGCCUCAAGAGGACAGGCUUGACCGGCAGGGAGACGUAGCGCAGCUCGGGCGUCGGCUCCCGCCGCACGUCGCACAAGAUGACGCCGCGGCGGUAGUCGGCCCAGUACAUGAAUCGGUCGCCGACGGGGACGACGUCGUCGGUGUCCCAACAGGACAGCUCCUGCAGCUUGCCCUCGUCGUGGAGGCCCUUCCUUGUCAAGUUGUCAUUCUUGGCGCAGAUGUAAUCCAGCACCGCCACCACCGGCUGCUCCUCGUCGGCGCCGCGGCCCCGCAGGAGCGUCGUGGACUUCAUCGCCAUUGAACAGGGAUAGCAGCACCCCUUGUAUUCCCAGGAGGAGAGGAUCGAAAGGGGGAAGCAGCGCCCGCGAUGGCGACGGCCGUGACGAGUCGCCGCCGGCGCUGUAGACGAAGUGGUCCGACGUGCGCCUCUUGUCGUCGGCCGCGUCCCAGGUGUUGAUCCUGAGGAGGAAGGAGUCCCGGUGGGUCGCGAGGACGAGCGUUGAGAUCCUGCUCCCGUCCGAGACGCCGGGGAUGUCGGCGCGCAGGCGGGACAGGGCCGGCGGCGGGGCGAAGGCGAAGGAGACGCGGAUGGGGCGGCCGUCGGAGAUGCGGGAGCAGGCGGCGGUCUUGGGGUCGGGGUCCAGAUCGCAGCGGGCGGACUCCUCGAGCAGGACCCAGCCAGGGUACGCGACGGCCGCCGGCGGUGGUGGAGGAUCGCGGUCCUCGGGUAGGGUUUCCAUGUCGAUCCGUUGGCUUGGUGAUGGAUCCAUGGCUGGAUCGGCGGUCGGUUUUAUUUGCAUUGGUAGAAUUAACCGUGUAUACGUAUAUUAUACGUAUGGGUCCUAGCUCGAUCACCAGGCCCCACACAGGUAAUUAAAAAAUGAUGCCAAGAAAGGAAAAUCACAAGUAUCUGGGAAAAAAAAUCCAACCGGGGAAUUCACCCCGUCACGGCGUCAUUGCCUUUGGCUCACCGGCGUACGCCCGUGGGAGAAGGUGUUGAGGAGGUACCUGGAGACCGGGCAGAAGCUGUCGGAGGAAUAGUAGUCGUCCUUGCGGGAGAUAUCAUGACAGAAAAUAUAUUGUGUGCUUGCAAAUUGAGAUCCGGACAAAAACUUACUCGCGUUCCAAUAAGCAUCGUUGAUUUAAUACAUUUUUAAUACAGAGUAUAACUUUUUACUAAAUGAGCAACACUUAUUAUAAAUCCGUGGGAGUAUAAGAUUCCUAUCCGAAAGCCAGCGUGAACUUCACCGGAAGUGCACAACCAAGAAUGAGAGAUAGUUUUCUUUUGCAAAGAUCACACAUAUGCCUGUACAUCGAAGCAGUACAUUUUUGUCAUCAAAUGGCAAUAAUCCUUCAUCAUGUCCUCCGGAAGCGCCGAAUAAAUAGCUCUGGACUUUAACCGGUCCUCGUCGCACGCAAGAACACGAUAAGCUCUCCUCACGUCAUCAUCACACAACAAGUCAGGCGUUUCUUCUGAAAGCAUCAUCGCUGCCGGUACUUCCUCCCGUAAGGUUGGCGUCGACGAUGGUUUCCACGGCGCUUCGAAAAUGUCUUGUUCACGCGUCCGCCGUUCUCCCUUGGACAUACAGCCGCCAUGGGAGGUGUUGAAGUAUUGGGAGACCUUGCUAGGCACAAAGAGGGGGGCGUCACGAUGGUCGUCCCCGUAGCGGAAGAUGGACCGCAGCUCCAUUCUCCUCAUGUCGACCUCGACCAGGCACGCCACAUGGUGGUGUUCGACCAUGAAGCACAGGGUGUCCAGACUCACGGUGGGGUACGACGGCGGUUGGACGCGUGGGACGACGUCGACGUCGUAGCUGGUGAGGGACCAGAGGUCGUCGCAGUCGACCAGGCCGUCCUUGUGCCACGUCAUGUCGUUCGUCCUCAGCGUCCAAAUGGCAAUGGCGACCAGAGGAUACGCCUCAACGAACCUCACCGUGCCACCGUUGGCGCACACGCGCUGGUACCGCGACAUGUCCCUGUCGUCGAGGUCACGCUUCACCGGCAGGGAGACAUAACGCAGCUCGGGCGCCGGCUCCCGCCGCACGUCGGAGAAGAUGAUCCCGCGGCUGUAGUCGACCCAGCACAGGAACCGGUCGCCGACGGGGACGACGGCGUCGGUCUCCCAAGAGAGCAGCUCCGGCCGCUUGCCCUCGUCGUGGAGGACCGGCAGCCGCUUGAGCUCCCACUCGCCCGGCAACCGCUUGAGACCCCGGUCGCCGGAGCGGAGGCGGAGCAGGCAUAGGUCGGCCCCCACCGCCCCUUCCUCGUCUCCGUCUUCAUCGUUCACAUAAUCCAGCACCGCCACCAGCGGCUCCCCGUCAGCGCGGCAUUGCAGAAGCGCCGUGGCAUACAAAUCCAUGUAGAUGCGCCCGCAUUGCGGGACGGGGCAGAAAGGGGGCAGCAGAGAAAGCGACGGCGGCCGCGAAAAGUCGGCGUCGCCGGCGCUGUAGACGAAGUAGUCCGACGUGAAUCCGUGCUUAUAGUUUCUGUUGGAGAAUACAAUGCAAGCUUCUAGAGUGUUCUCAAUAUUACAAGAAAGAAGACGUUACUAUGAAAUACUCUAGAAUAUAAAAUAAAUAAAAGAGAUAACCUUUUAGUGUUUAGAUAUGCAUGAAGAAUUAUGUAGAAGUUUUGGAAUACUCUAGAAUAAGAGUUUAAAAUAAAUAAAUAGGAAACCUUCUAGUACCUAGAUAUUUAUGUAGAAGUGUGUGAAAGGCUUUAGAUAUUUUGUAUCAAUGGCUAAGAUUUUGACACAUGUCAAAGAUUCAAUGGCCAUGUAGUCCUAUAAAUAGAGGCCCUUGCCUCACACCUUGUGUAGUAGAAAAUAAGAAAGUGAAGAAGGUGGAGAACAAGGUGUGAGCAAGUGUAAAGUGUGUAUGCUCUCUCUUGUACUAAUAUUCCUAAAGCAAUAUAGUACUACUUUGUUCAUAUAAGUCUCCCGGUUAGGCCUUAUUAUUUCUAAGUACUUAGUGCAUAUAAGUUGUGAUUUAACGUGAGCGGAUUCGCGCGGAAUCACAACGGUCUUGUUUCAACGUGAGUGGCAUAGCCGCCCGGAUUUAAGACUUGCUUUAACGUGAGUGGCUCUGCCGCCCGGAAGCUUGCACUAAGUAAGUAGAAAUAAAAAGGGACUAAUCAACUACACCAAAAUAGUUGGUAUAGGUGAAUAGACCCUCUCGUAGUGUGUUAGGUCCACCUCGAAUUCUCUUCAGUUCCUGGUUUCGAUCCCGAGGAGGACGGAGUCCCCGUGGGCGGCGAUGACGAGCGUGGAGAUCUUGCUGGUCAUGCCGUUGUCCGCGCAGCCGGGGAUGUCGGCGCGCAGGCGGGACGCGGCCGGCGGCGGCGCGAGCCGAAGGACACGCGGGUGGGUCGGCCGUCCGAGAUGCGGGCGUGCGCGGCGGUCCUAGCGUCGGGAUCCGAGCAGAACCUAUUCUUAAAAAGCGUCUAGAUACAUAUAACAUUUCGACAACAAUUUAGUACAAGAUUGCCGUCAGACAACUUCAGAACCAGAUCGAGUUUCACUGCGGCAAGUGCACAACUGAAAAAUGAUACUGCUACCAAUUAAGUGUAUUAAACAUGUGUAAGUUUGUAGAUUUACCACUCCCUCCAAACGAUCACGUAUUGGAACGAUAGCACAUAUUUUUGAUCAAGAGGCAACAAUCCUUGCGCAUGUUGAUCGGAAGGGCCGAAUAAAGAGACGUGAACUUUAAACGGUUCUCGUCGGACCCAAGAAUGCUGUAUACUCUCAGCUUGUCAACAUGUGCCAAUUCGGGCAUCUCUUGAGGUCUCGCAAGGUCGGUUUCUUUGGCGCUCCAAGAAUAUCAUCUUUCUUCACGGGGCCACUGUCCUUGGCUUGCCGGCGUCCCACGGACGGACAAGGUGUUAAAAUACUGCGAGACCGCACAGGAGAGGAAGCUGCCGGUGUAAAGGUACUCGAAGCCGUAGCGGGAGACGGACCGCAGCUCCAUCCGCCUCGUGUCGACCUCGAUUAGGCGCACCAAACGGUCACCGUCGACGUCCUCCCUAUGGUAUUUUCUCUUGUGCACCACUAAGCAGAGGACGUCGGGGUCGUCCAGGCUCACCGUGGGGUACUCCGGCUUGACGCGCGGGAUGACGCCGGCGUAGCCUGGGAGGGACCAGAGCUCCUCGGAGUCAAACCACACGGGCCUUGUCCCAUGUCAUGCCGUUCAUGUCAAGCGUCCACAUGGUGAUGGUGAAGGCGUGGUGGGAGCGCGCGCAGUCGGUGGUCCCCGGGCCGCCGCCGCAGCAGCGCGCGGGGGAAGACCUCGACGAACAUCACCAUGCCGCCGCCGCCUGUGGCGCACACACUCCGGUAGCUUGACCCGCCGCGUCCGUCCCUGUAGUACGUGGUGAGGUCGGGCUUCACGGGAAGAGAAACAUACCGCAGCUCGGGGGACUCCCGCGACACGUCGGAGAAGAUGACCCCGCGGAAGUAGUCGACCCAGCAGAGGAAUCUGUCGCCGACGGGGGCGGCCGCAUCGGUCACCCAACAAGACAGCUCCCGCCGCUUGCCCUUGUCGUGGAGCACCGGCAGCCGCUUGAGCUCCCAGCCGCCGGAGCGGCGGAGAAGACAGAGCUCAGCCUCCAGUACCGGCCCUUCCUCCUUUGUUCCUCCCGUCGUCGUCGUGCCCAAAACGGGCAUCGAGCGCCGCCACAACCGUCUCGUCGUCUUCUUGGCGGCGCAGGAGCGUCAUGCCGGGUAAACCCAUGAAGCGUUCCCUCGGCCUCCGCCUCCCCUCCUCUUGCUUGGUGAGGUAGCAAGGGGGCAGCCGCGACAGCGACGGCGGCCGAGCGGGCGCGUCGCCGGCGCUGUAGACGAAGUAGUCGACCGUGCAUCUCUCGUCGAAGAUGACGGUGGUGUAGUCCUCGGUUUGGAUCUGGACGAGGACGGAGUCGCCGUGGGCCGCGAUGACGAACGGGUGCAGCUCGAUGCCGCCGCCACGGCCGGGGAAGUCGAAGCGCGGCCGCGACACCGCGGGCGGCGGGGGGAAGGCGAAGGAGAUCCGGAAGGGGUGGCCGGUGGAGGUGUGGGUGUACGCCACGGUCCUGGCGUCGGGAUCCUGGCACCACAUGGACUGCUCCAGCAGAACCCAUCGCGGGUACGCGGCGGCAGGCGGCGAAGGGUCGCCAUGGGAUGGUAGUAGUAGUUCCCGGUGAUCCAUGGCGCGCACCUUGGAUUCGUUGGUGACACAUAUAUUCGUUGGUGGCAUGUAGAAAGAUGGUUCAGAUGUAACCGCACAAUGCUGGCAUGAGGAAGACAUAUCACACACUUAUUUACUCCCUCCGUUUUAAAAUUUCAAUUAAAAAUGUCACCCGCAUGUACUCCCUCCGUUUCACUGUCGCCGGCGUCUUCUGGCUCCGACCGCCGACUUCCCGGCUGCUAUGUCAACAAUGGUUUCCUGGCUCUGACGUGGUUCGGAGGUCUAGAGGCAGCAUCGAGCUUCGCUUAUGGCGCUCCAUCGGUGAGUCCAGGCCGGACGAAAACAACAACGUUUACCUACAAGAACUUGCGUGUAAUUUUUUAUUUUAUUUUAAAGAUACAUAAUAAUUUUUUAUUUUAUUUUAAAGAUGCAUGGUUAUGUAAGGGUUGGUUGAUUUCAAUAUAUGACCUUGGUGUACUGCAUAGAAACAACAUUUGUUGCCAUGUCAUAAAAUUUCAAUUCGAAAUUAGACUCAUAACUUGAGAAACAAAAAAAACGUAUCAUACAAUUAGUAGUAGCUAAUUCAAAAUGGGCUGUGAAUUCAGCCCGUUUAUAGCACUACAUAUAGCUGAAUCUAUUAUUUUUGUUUCUCAAGAGUAUGAAUUUAGAAAUUUCCGUGACCUGGUUGUAUAUCGUGCCCAUACUGUAAAAAAGUUUGGGAUUUUUUUUUCUUCUAUUUUGGAAGACUUUUCUUGAACUCGGGUGCAUCAGUUGCACUUUGCACCACAAACCGGGAGGUAACCAAUGCAGAUGUUUUUUGCAGAUUAAGUUUGUUUGUACGGUUCAAUUUGAGCAAGCAAAAUGCACCGAAGAGAAAAUAAAACGUUUUGAGGAAAAAAAAAUGUUUUUAAAGAAGAAACAAAAUAAGGAGAAGAAUAUUGGACCAGCCAGCCACAGGCCCACAUCUAGCCCAGCUAACUAGCGUACAAACUAAAAAGCCCACAUUCGAGCUCAGCCGCUGCGUUCUUCUUCCGCCGCCACUCCUCCGUUCCCCCCGAGUUCUCGAUCUCUUCUCUCUCCUAGUUCAAACUCGCUGCCCUCCUGAUUGAUGGAGCAGCCAAUUCAAGGAUUCGAACACCAACGAAUGGAAUCCGCCGAGCGCGACAUGGAAACCCGAGCGGGUCAUGGCCAAGAGGCAUCUGGCGAGUACCCUAGCUGGGUGUUGCUCGAGACCUCCAGGCGCUGCGAGUCCGCCGCCGCGGCGCCGGAGACGGCGGCGGAAGCUCUCACCUCUAAGGGCCGCCCCGUCCUGGUCUCCUUCAACCUCGCGCCGCCGCCCGCGUUCUCCCGCCUCCACAUCAACGGCUUGCCGUUGCCGGACGACGAGUUCCGGUUCGACACGAAGAUCCUCGCGGCCCACGGCGACUCCGUCCUCGUCCAAGUCUCCGAUUACGGCGAGACGCCGGACUACUUCGUCUACAACGCCGGCGACGCGCCCACCCGCCCGCCGUCGCUGUCUCUGCUGCCCGCUUGCUACCUGCCCCAUCAGACCUGCGGGCGGGCCCGCAGCUUCUUCGCGGACACCGUCGCCAUCCUGCGCCGCGGCGACGAGGAGCUUGCGGUGGUAGUGGCCGGAAAGGGGGGUUUCUUUUCUAAGGACCUGGAGGAGGGGGGAGCGCCCGUGCAGGCCCACCUCUUGCUGCUCCGCUCCGGCGAGCACUGGGAGCCGGAGUGGGAGAUCAGGUGGGCGCCGGUCUGGCACGACGAGAUCAAGCGUUUGGAGCUGCUCCACUGUUGGAUGACCGAUGCCGUCGUCCCCGUCGGCGACCGGUUCCUGUGCUGGGUCAAUUACCUCUGCGGCGUCAUCUUCGCCGACGUGUGGAAUGAGACGCCCGAGCUGCGGCACGUGCGACUACCUGUGGAUCCCGAACGCGGGAGACGCAAUAACCCUGCUUCGUUCUACAGGGCCGUGUGCGCCGCCGGCGACGACGAGGUCAGGUUCGUCCAUGUCUCCCCCCCGCUGCUGCUGCGGCUGCCCGGGCGCCACCGCGUGCGCGCGCUCCCGCCGUGCCUUCACCAUCACCACGUGGACGCUCUGGAUGGACAGCGUGGUCGACAGCUGCGACGUGGUGACGUGGGAGAAGGUCGCCAUGGUCGACUGCGACGACAUCUGGUCCCUCGCCGCCGGUGACGUCCCGCGUGUCAGGCCGGAGUUCCCCAUGGUGAGCCUGGACGACCCAGACGUGCUUUGCUUCAUGAUGCGCAGGAACCCAUUCCAUGACGACGCCGACGUCGACGGGGACCUUGCAAUACGGCUGGUCGAGAUCGACACGAGGCGCAUGGAGCUGCGGUCCGUGUUCCGCUACGACAUGAAGAUGACAGCUUUACCUACGACAGCUAUCCCCCAACCUUUCUUCCCGGUGUGGUCUCCAAGUACUUCAACGUUUACUCUUCCCGUCAUACGGCGGCAAAGGCAAGCCAAAGGCGGAGGCAUCAACGAGACAUCCUUGAAGCACCGGCGAAACCAUUAUUGGAACCGACAUCACUAGAGGCGGCGGCGGCGAUGGCUUCCCCGGAAUAGAUGUUGGUGACGCUUCGGGAGAUACCUGGCUUGGCGUCUAGUGAUAGGCUGAGAGCCUACGGCGUUCUCGCGUGUGAUGAGAGCCGUCAGUUCAGGUACAGGUCUCUUUUGGCCCUUCCGAUGGAGAUGAGGAAGGAUUACUGCCUCGUGAUUGCCAAAUUAUCUUGCUUCAAUAUAUAGUUGCUUUUGUCUAUGGUCACAUGCAUGCUCUACAUCUUUCGAAGGAAGAAAUUACAUGAUUGAAUGAUCCACACUUGGUGUCAUUUUCAGAAAUAUGCUCAUCUUGCAGUGAAGUUCAAACAAGAGAGGAGCUUUUUUAGAAAACUGGGUACAGAUAUAUAGCAUGACGGAUUUAAUAAAACUAAUUUAGCGUGCUAGUUUGUUGGUAAUUCUUUUCUUCUUUAAAGUAGAUCAACUUUUAAUUAUUGACUUAGAAGAAAGCUUAGACCAUCUGGGAACAAAGGGAGAUACAUUGAAGCUUUUUGGUUGGAAGAACUCCUCUCCUGAGGUAUAAGGUGUUAUGGACAUGCGCGAUUAGAUCGUUGCAAAAAGUUGGCGAGAACCGAUAUUCGUUGACGAGGUUUAACAUCGACGCCUGCAUCCUUGGAGCAUGUUUAACGGGUGCUCCUGCCAUGGACGGCGGGCCAUCUCCUUGCAUUCUCAUGUAUAGCCUAUCAGCGUCUUUGCAAUCUCACAUAUAUCAAUCCUACCAGCUUCCUUUAUUCUAUUGUGCCUACGACGACACCUUUAUAUAUUAGAUAAAUUUUGCAAGUGUUCGAUUCGAACACCUAACGUACCACGUACACGUACGUAAUUGAAGUCCAACUUUAAUCUAUAUAUACAUAUAUAUUCGACACAAAUUUAACACAAGGUUUGGUGGAUUGGACUGCUUUUGCUGCAGGAUGAUAAAACUCUAAUUGUGCAGAACAAAAGACGUGAAAGCAGGCCAGAGAAUAAAUACAAACCGCCACGGCCACCUCCCCCUGUUGU